UUAACUGGUAGCCAGUACUUCCAAGAAUAAGAACGGGUACUUGAAUUUACUAAAGUGAAUCCUACUUACAACUAUGACAAUACUCGGGAACUACAACUACGUGUGGUUCCCAAAUCGAACACAAUAUGGACGGAAAAUUCCAUCCAUAGGCAAGGUCUCUUACGACACCUUGAUCACAAUUCACAUUAUUUUUUUUAAUUUCAAUCAUUCAUAAAAUUUUAAAAAUGCACACAACACACAAUGGGAUAAGAAGCAAACCUGUGAUUGGACCUUUCAGGGGUUUUGACGGUCCAGUCAACUAUAAAGUGUAGGCUCUACCCAAAUAGCCUAACACUUGGAUGUGGACUAACGGUAAGGAAAAGCGAACAAGUUCAACAAGUCUUAUCUUAGGUAUAGGUAACGUAGAUCGGGUAACUUCAUGAGGAAGGGUAACCUAAAAUCCUAACUCUUCACAAGAACCACCAAAGCGCGAAUGAUGCAAACGUUCCAGAAUUUCCCAAACUUUGACAAUCACGACCAUUCUGUCUUUGCUAGUCACAACCAUAACGGCUCAAGGUCCUCGAUCUUGAUCUGAAGAAAUGUACACCCAAAAUCAUCUCCAACGACUUACUUAACUCACUUCUUGAAUUUGACCUUUUAUCUGCAGCGGUUGGAAAAUAAACGGUCUGCAUGACUUGGUUAACUUCUUCAGAAAUAAUAGCUUCUUUAACAUUCACGUCAUACUCUAACAUCUCCUCGAAGCUUUGAAACUCCAUGGUCUUUUAUCUACUCCAAAAUUCUUGGCUAAGUUCCCAAAGAUUUUCCAUAUGAUCUUUGGCUUGUUCUCCAAACCAUAGUCGAUGAAUGAAAUUCACUCGACCACAUAUCUCGAUGCUGAAAUUGUUGUAUAUGAUUAACUCGACCUUAACCUCCUGGCGGAAACAUCUCACUGUACCAAAUCUGUAAACUUAAUCUUCAAUCGGUCCCAUACCUUGUGUAGAAAAUUCUACUUCUUGAACUCUUGAAAUCUGUCCAACUCGAUCUCAACACCUUGAAGUAAUUCUUGACUCUUGACCAACAACUCAUAGCGUUCAUCUCCAAAUAGCUUGCUGCCAAAUCCUUCUUGUAAUUCUCUGAACAACGACCACGUCAAUAUUCUGCUCUGAUUUUGUUGACUCCCAAAUCUGCCUCAAGCCAAAGUAUACCUCGAACAGUUUAUUCCUUCUUCGGUAUCUUAUGGUCCCAAUUUCUUAUUCUUUGCAUCAUAAGCUUCAUGAUGUCUCAUUGCAAACAAAAUGCUUCCGGUGCUUCCAUCAUCUUGUAAUACAAUCAAACCAUCUCUUCGUCCAAUGCUAAGCUUGAAACAAAUACAUAAAAAUUUGGCUUGUACGGCUCUGGUGCUUGUACGUCUCAGAAUAAGCUUGACAUUGAUAACACAAGGGUCCGUAGAUGUAUUCGAUGUAUCAACUCUGUCCCAUAUAUCUCUCUAAAGAAUUGGUAUCCUCCACUAGAACUCAAAAGAACGGCAGGAAGACAUCAGGUUACUGACUCCUAACAGGACGGUAGUGAACCCGACCAUGAGGGUAGCAAACUCGAGCAUAAUGAUAGUAACACCGGUCAGCACAGUCCACCCGUUCAAUCUUGUCUCGGUGCUUCUGCUCUGAAAGAUCACGGCUAGGUAACUACCCAUGACUAUCUAUCCUAAACUAAAGGAACAAGCCAGCAUAUCCUAGUUAUUCUUGCGACUCAUUUUGACUCGAAAAACAUUUGAAACAAGUCCCAUUCUAGCAUCGUAUAACCAUGCUCUGAUACCACCUUUGUGACACCCCCGAUCUGGUCUAAGUAUAAGUUGACUCGACCAGCCGUGCAACAAUCAAACAAGAACAUGCACAGCCGAUCACUCAUAACUGAAACCAAACCGAGAAGCCACAAUGUGUACAUAAACGACUAACCCGAAGUUCCCGAAAUAAAUCCAGGUACCUUAGGCCAACCGCCUAAGUACACAUAUCCUAUUAGGUACAACCCGAGGCUUUACAACCUUAAGAGUAAUACCCAAUAGUUGGUUCGUCCGGACAAGGACUAAUAUCAUUUGGAACCCAUACUUUAAAAACAUUCUUUAUACACUAUAUACUUAUUCAUUUAAAAGAAUCUUACAAAAUCUUAUAGAUUAACCUCGAGGUUUUCGGUCAACAAACCUUAUACAUAAAGUAUAUCAAAACGCCUUUGCAAGGAUAAUAAAACUACCGCUGGUUAAUGAUGUUCCUUCCCGUCCUAGAGUAAGGUCUCCCGUCUACUGGUUACCUGCAUCACAAAUGAGUCAUGAGUAACUAGUUUACUCAGUGAGCCUAGUCCCACACCCAAACACUUAUCAAUAGUAUCCCGAGCAAUCGACACCAUUUGAAUGCAGUGGAAUUAUAUUCCAUAAUUAAUAUAAUUAUAAGGCCUCUCAAUCCAUCCAUGUGAAUCUAUCUUAAACAUCACCUCCACGAUACCCGCCAAUCACUCAUACUCUUAAUAUAUAUAUAUAUGCUAAACCCGGAAAACCACCAAGGCUAACCGAGCCUAACGGGGAAUAAAAAUAACCAUCAUCUCCAUCAGAUAUUCCAAGAUAGAACAUCCAACGCUGCAUGCAGUUACACGGCCUCCAGGGUGCGACCCCAUCAUCGUGUCUUCAUGACCUUGAUCCAUAUCGCAGGACCAAUUCACGGCAAUGCGGGACUUUCGGGAGAGUGAGUAUACAAUAAGACUUCACAUGAUUCACACUUAUUCAUAGAAUAAUAUAGAUUAGUACUUGAGAACAAGUACUAAGGCUCGGGAUAACCUCAAAGAAUUAUUCUUAUUAAUUCUUAAGUAUUUAAACUAGAUAAAUACUUCAUAUAUAAAUAUAGAUCAACGAAUAAUACUUAAUCAAUCAACCAUAAUUACUCCUUAAUUAAUCCAUGAUUAAUCCUUAAUUAAUCAAUGAUUAUCCCUUAAUUAAUUCAUGAUUAAUUCUUAAUUAAUCAACCAUAUUCAAUAUGCAAUCAUGCAUAAUCAUUCAUAAUUCAUUCAUCAUCUAUCUAGACUCACCUUUAAAUCCAUGAGAUUGGCUAAGGAAGACUAGACUCGAGCUCAAGCUAAUCACACUUCACUUCUGGAUCACUCUCGGUUCAGAACCAUCACAAGGAUCCGGCUGAUCCGAAUACUCUCCUUGGCCAUCUGAAUUCAAAACAUACAGUUGGAACAUAAGUUUCACUAGUCUGGUUCAAGAAGAAACUCAACUCAGUUCAUAACAUUUCAGUUCAGUUCUCUCAUAUCAGUUUGGUACAAGACAAGUUCAGGUCUGGUCCUAAAAAUUCAGUUAAACUCAGACUAUAUCUGUUCAUGACAAGUUCAGACCGUAGACAGCUCGGCUCAGAUCAGUUGAAGACAAGAUCAAAUCAGUUCGGUUUAAUUCAGACAAUUCACAUAAGUUCAGCUACUGGUUCUAUGAUACAAAUUCAAUCAUACACCAACCAAGAGUGAACCUUAUAUGAAUUCAGACAACUGUUCCUGAUAGGUUUAUCAAGACACAGCACUUGGUUAUCAUCAAACAGAACUGAAACAGGAGACUGAAGCUUAACAAAAACUGAUCUCAUCAAACCCAUAAGCUCUUACCGAUUCAAAACAACAAUCUUCUGAAUUCAGAUGGUACACAACUUAUCGUUGAAGCCACUCCUAACCUGAUCAGUGCCAUAUCAAGCCAAGGUCGGAUUCAUUCAGACAAAGCCUCAAGUGUUUCCAAACCAACAGAACUUCUCACUGAAAACUGAUCAAAAUACAUCUUACCGAUCAAAACCAAAGGCUGAAGAACAUGGGUGAUUCUGAACUUCAGGACACCAAAUAUUCAGCUCUUAACCACACCAAUACUCACUGAUUAAAGUCAGAAGAGGGUGAGAAAGGGUCGUCCAAGCUCACUUCUCUUCUCUUAUUUUUUUCUGAAUUUUUCAUGUAUUUUCCUCACAGAUUUUUCUCUCUUUCUUUCUCUCUUUCUCUCUGAAUUUUUCUUUCUUGUUUCUGAGAUGAAUGAGCUCGACCAGGAAGAGGAAAAGGUAAUAAAUGACAGGGGAAAUAGCAGGAGAAGAGUCAGCAAGAAAGGACAAAAGUUUCAGAUCAGUAUGAGACAUGUGGUGAGCUGAAUCACACUUUCCUUCCCAUCAAGUAAUGUCAUUUCCUCUUCAUGAAGAAACUUCAAGCAGGUGUGCAACUCACAUGACUUUAAUGUAGCAAGAAAGCUGGAAGGUGCAAGUCACAUGUACAGGUCAGGAAGGAAGCAAGCACCCAGGCAGCACAUGACAUGCACAUGACUCGCAAGCAGCUGGAAGUAUUCAAGACCAGUUUUGGAUAAAAUGUUUCCCGUCCAUUGGUUCUCAUCCAGCUUAUAGAUAAAACUCGACCAUAAUAAUUAACACUUGGUCAGAACUAUUAAGAGUAGGUACUUUGGCCUUGAGACAGUCCGAUCAAGAAUAAUUCACCGGGUCGAUUUUUAUUUUUAAUUCUGGUCGAACCAACUCCAAACUGGUCGAGCGGGAUUUUUCUCGAUAAAAAUUAUAUAUACUUGUGAGGAUUAUUACACCGUACCUCUAUUAUCUUGUAGGGUCCUUCCCAUCCGGGGGUGAGUUUCCCAGUUGUUUUCUCUGUUCGUCGCAGGACCCAGUCGCCUUGCUGGAAGGUUCUGGUUCUGACCUUCUUGUUGUAGGUCUUGGCUACUUCUUGCUGGUAGGACCAAUUUCUCAGACUGGCAGUUUCUCUCUUUUUGUCGAGUUGAUCGAGACCUAGCGGUAUUAGCUCGUGGUUUUCUUCCUGAGAGGUAGUCCCCAAGACUGUGGUCUUUACGUGCAUUUCGGUGGGGAUUAUAGCCUCUGCUCCGUAUACCAGCGCGUAGGGGGUUUCCUGGGUUUCUGUCUUGUGGGUGGUCCGAUAGGCCCAGAGGAGUCCGUGCAGCUCCUCUGCCCAGUUUCCCUUGGAACCCUCCAAGCGCUUUUUCAGCAUGUUUACCACUGUUUUAUUUGUAGACUCUGCUUGCCUGUUAGACUAGGGGUGUCGUGGCGUAGCGAAGGAGAGUCUGAUACCCCAGUCUUUGCAGAACUCCUUGAAAUUGUGGCUCAUAAACUGGGGGCUGUUGUCAGCGACAAUUUCUUCUGGAACCCCGAACCGUGUGAUUAUGUUUGUCCAUAUGAACUUUCUGAUAUGGAGAUCGGUUAUUCUGCUGAGUGCUUCUGCCUCGAUCCAUUUUGAAAAGUAGUAUGUCACUAUCAGGAGGAAGACCUUUUGCCCCGGCGACAUGGGGAACUUCCCUACUAUAUCCAUGCCCUAUUUCCUGAAUGGCCAGGGCGAACUUAUGGAUUUGACGGAGCCAGUCUGGAGACAGGCGCAUGCCUUUGGCAUCUGUCACAAUGUUCAGCUUUUUGGUUAGCGUCGUCGGCCAUCGUGGGCCAGUAAUAACCUGCUCUUUUGGCUCUCAGAACUAGGCUCCUGCCGCUGGAAUGAGACCCGCAAUCUCCCUCGUGUGAUUCCACUAGGAUCUUGGUCGCUUCACCGGGUGUAACGCAUCUCAGAUAUGGGCCAGAGAACGACCUGCGGUAUAGCUUCCCCUGACAGAGGCAAUACCUAGCGGCCUUCUCCGGGUCGGGAGUAAAGCCGGAGAGAAUUCGGCCACAAAGUCUGCUAAGGCCUGGGACUUAAUUGCCGUAGCGGGUCGGAAGAUUAUGUCGUAUUCUCCCAGCUCUACUGCCCACUUUACCAAUCGUCCGGAGACCUCAUGCUUAUGUAGGACCAGCUUUAUAAGGAAGGAAGUGACGACCACCACCGGAUGAGCCUGAAAGUAAGGCUGUAAUUUACGAGCAGCGACCAUUAGGGCCAGGGCCAACUUCUCCAGGUGACUGUAGCGGGUUUCUGCGUCUAGGUGGGCUUUGCUCACGUAGUAUAUUGGUAGUUUCUUGGUUUCCUCUUCUCUAACCAAGACGGUGCUAACUGCAUGUUCUGAGACAGCGAGGUAUAGUAGUAAGACUUCGCCAAGCAAGGGUUUAGAUAAGAGAGGGGGAGUAGGAAGAUAAUCCUUGAAUUCAUGGAGAGCCGAUUCGCACUUCUCGGUCCAUUCGAAAUCCUUUGGCUUCUUGAGGGUUUGAAGAAGGAGUGAGACUUAUCAGAGAGCCUGGUGAUGAAUCUGCUUAUAGCCGCCAUUAUGCCAGUUAGCUUAUGGACUUCUUUUACUCCUCGGAGAAGGAAUUGAAUGGAUAGCUCUGAUCUGGUCUGGAUUAGCCUCGAUGCCCUGGUGGGUCACAAUGUACCCUAAGAAUUUUCCAGAGCUGACGCCGAAGGAGCAUUUAGCUGGGUUGAGCUUAAUAUUGUAUUUACGGAGGGUAGAAAAGGCCUGUUACAGGUGCGAGAUGUGGUCCUCCGCCUCUAGGAAUUUCACCAGCAUGUCGUCAAUGUAGACUUCCAUAGUUUCUCCUAUUUGGUCCGCGAACAUCAUGUUCACCAACCUCUGAUAUGUCGAUCUGGCGUUCUCCAGGCCGACGGGCAUGACCUUGUAGAAGUAGAUCACCUGAGACGUCAUGAAAGAGGUUUUCUCUUGAUCUUCGGGUUGCAUGAGUAUUUGGUUGUAGCCGGAGAAAGCGUCCAUGAAGCACAUUAGCUGGUGUCCAGCCGUGGCAUCGACAAGAUUAUCGAUGUGCGGCAGAGGGAAAGUGUAGAAACCCGUUAAAAAAAAAAAAAAAAAAAAAAAAAAAAGAAAAGAGAGAGAGAAUGGUCGAGUAUCUUUGUGGUUGAGUCGCGGGCAAUACAGAUCGAUCGGGAAAUUUGAAGUACGAGAAGGUCGAAGAAUGGAUCGUGAGUGAAGCAUGAGUUGAGAUAAGCUGCUCUACCAUUGUUAGAAAUGUCUUAGAUUGAUCAUACGGCAGUUUUGGAAGAAUUACAUUUUUAAAGCACGACGGUUUAGAAGCUCGACGUUUUGGAAGAUUGACGUUUCUUCAUCGCGAAGUUUUCUCGGAAUAUCUUCGUAUCAGUAAAAUAUUAUUCUGAAGACAUUAUAAGUCGGAAGCAGGACGGGAAGCAAGCACGACGGGAAGCAAGCACGAUGGGAUUGAAGCACGACAGGAAAACCCGAAGUUGGUCAAAAACCCUAAUUUCGGUUUUUCGAAAUUAUUGGAAGAAGCCGGAGGCUCGGGAAAUAUUUUUAGAGGAUCUCAGUAUUCAUCUGGAGUUUAUUAAAAAUAUUUAGAGAAUCAGAACGGGAGCGGAAAAAUAUUCGGGAUUGAUCGCGGGACGAAAAUUCACCAGAAAGACCGAAAUCGCACAAAUCAACCGGGAAGCUCGAGGUGUCCCUAUGCAUAUGGCCAGGACGUUCUGUCUAUCACAUCAGCAGCUGAGUGUCAACACAAGGAGGAGGUGUAGACGUGCAUGGAAGCUGAACAUGCAGCUUGACACAUAGAAGCACGAGGUGGAACAGUCAAGCACGAGGUGUCUCCGCACAUGCAACCGAAGCAUGCUGAUCGAAGCAUCGACAAGAUUAUCGAUGUGCGGCAGAGGGAAAGUGUAGAAACCCGUUAAAAAAAAAAAGAAAAAAAAAAGAAAAGAGAGAGAGAAUGGUCGAGUAUCUUUGUGGUUGAGUCGCAGGCAAUACAGAUCGAUCGGGAAAUUUGAAGUACGAGAAGGUCGAAGAAUGGAUCGUGAGUGAAGCAUGAGUUGAGAUAAGCUGCUCUACCAUUGUUAGAAAUGUCUUAGAUUGAUCAUACGGCAGUUUUGGAAGAAUUACAUUUUUGAAGCACGACGGUUUAGAAGCUCGACGUUUUGGAAGAUUGACGUUUCUUCAUCGCGAAGUUUUCUCGGAAUAUCUUCGUAUCAGUAAAAUAUCAUUCUGAAGACAUUAUAAGUCGGAAGCAGGACGGGAAUUAAGCAGGACGGGAAGCAAGCACGACGGGAAGCAAGCACGAUGGGAUUGAAGCACGACAGGAAAACCCGAAGUUGGUCAAAAACCCUAAUUUCGGUUUUUCGAAAUUAUUGGAAGAAGCCGGAGGCUCGGGAAAUAUUUUUAGAGGAUCUCAGUAUUCAUCUGGAGUUUAUUAAAAAUAUUUAGAGAAUCAGAACGGGAGCGGAAAAAUAUUCGGGAUUGAUCGCGGGACGAAAAUUCACCAGAAAGACCGAAAUCGCACAAAUCAACCGGGAAGCUCGAGGUGUCCCUAUGCAUAUGGCCAGGACGUUCUGUCUAUCACAUCAGCAGCUGAGUGUCAACACAAGGAGGAGGUGUAGACGUGCAUGAAAGCUGAACAUGCAGCUUGACACAUAGAAGCACGAGGUGGAACGGCCAAGCACGAGGUGUCUCCGCACAUGCAACCGAAGCAUGCUGAUCGACAUGUGUGUGCUGGUCUUGCAUGAGCUCCAGUCAUGCAGCCUGACAUCUGGGAGGAGUGGUGGCGUCCUGCAUGUGUCCUGGACAUGCAGCCAGCCAUGUGGAGCACGAGGUGGAUCGGCCAAGCACGAGAUGUCGCGACGCAUGCAACCGAAGCAUGCUGAUCGACAUGUGUGAGGAUGUGUGGCGCCUUGCAUGAGCUCCAGUCAUGCAGCCUGACAUCUGGGAGGAGUGGUGGCGUCCUGCAUGUGUCCUGGACAUGCAGCCAGCCAUGUGGAGCACGAGGUGUCGCCGUGCAUGCGUCCGGAGCCAUGCGGAGCGACACACGGGCUGCCACCAACCUGAAGCUGAUUGGCUGGUGUCUCCUAUAAAUACCCCACGACCCCAGCUCAUUUCUUCACAUCCAGACCUGUCCAAACCCAUUUCAAAACAUGAGAGAAAAGUAGAAAAAGAAAGCAAGUGAUUCCGAGCUAUUUCGAGAGUUUUAGAGAGUUUUCGAGAUCAGUUCUCUAUUGAUUUCGAGUCAGCGCCUAGGGAAGGUUCUGUCCAACUGAAGGCCAAUCAAAUGAAGAUCAUCUCAGAUGGGAAUCAAGUCAACGUGGCCAGAGAGAAAGAGAGAGAGAAAGAAAGUGUUCGAUCUAUAGUUUGAUCGAUUCUGAAGACUGAGAAGGCCAGUUCCGUCCAAUCGUCGAUUAUUUACGAUUGUGACUCGGAAGCUCUGUCCAAUUCAAUCCGUCCAAGCCAGUCAUAUUCUCCUACAAUCAAGUGGAGGUGCUGUCCAAGAUUAGUUCAGUUCCACGGAUUCAGAUCAGUCGAAGUUCUGCUCGAUGCUCCGGGGGAAAGUCCGAAGAACUGUCGAGGAGCUAAAGAAGGUUCUGUUCAGAUCAGUCGGUCCAGACGUGUCAGUUUCUUCAUGAUGAAGCCGAGGUUAUUUCCAAGUCAAGAUCAGUCCAGUCCAGUCCAGUCAAGGUGUCCCUUGGGUUUUGGCCAAGUCCUCUUCGAUCAACCAGCAGCUUCUCGCCUAGAACACUGUGAGUUGGUUUGUUUGAAUUCCACUUGGAAUUUAGGGUAGUUUUGUGAGUUGUUUUGUUUGAAUUCCACUUGGAAUUUAGGGUAGAUCGAGUCGCAUAUAGAGUAGAAUGAUCAAGUUAUUGAAUGGUAGAGUCCUUAGGGUUAUUUUAUUUAUGGAACCGGACUCAGUUUAGCACGGGCUAAGCUGAGAUGAAUGGAAUUAAGACUGAGUUAAUAACCUGACUAGGACUAGGGCUAGGAUGCAUCAUGUUUUCUAUUAUUGCGUGUUGAUAUUAUUGAGUGCAGGUUCCCGUUAUCUUUAAAGAUAGUUUCUCAGCGGGAGGCUGGACUAUCUGGGUAACGGUUUGAUUGUGUUGUUUAGUAUUCAUAUUAUUGUUUAGUAGUUAGUACUAAUUGUCUUAGACCAUAUAGGCCGGACUACUGGUACUAUUGGUUUGUGUUGUAGAGUCGAGUGUCUAGUUAGGAUCUGGAACUUUGGCUUUAGGUUAGGUUCUAGAUUGAGUUUGUUUUGUUGUGAGUGUGCCGACAGUAUGUGCGAAACCCGCCCAUACUAGGCUUGUGUAGGGGUGAUUAGUGUUUCGUCGGCCUCGUACCCAGCGGGUUCAAGGAAACCCCUUAUUCGCUGGAUCGGGAAGACUCAGACGAACGGUGUCAUGUACUAUGGCUGAGUAUUACACGACGGUGUAAUGUGGCAGUGACCCGAAGGACUGUGGGCUUUCGCGCGGUGACCCGAAUGACUGUGGGCCGCGGUCGGUUGAAAGUUCCUUCUUCUGGCCUUUGUGGUAGGGAGAUAGGAUAUUGUCGAUAGAGAGGAGGAACACGAAGUCACCAGGGCCCAGGUUAGAGUGUUGUGUUAGAGUGUCGUAGAGGGUUAUGGAACCCUCGAGUUAGUGUAGCACCGAUAUACGGUGUUACAAGUUAGAUCGAGUCGUAGUUACUCAUAGUCUUAUUAUUGUGAUUGUGUUUGUGGUUGAUUGAUUUGCUUGCAGGUUCUGACGUUAAGUCCUAAGUCUGGUUUAGGUACCGGAUUAGGCUUGAUGUGUAUUUCAUUAGUGUAGGCCUGACGUUGGCCUGUAUGUGUUUGAGUGAUUGCUUGUGAAGGGUGGUGGAUAUUAAAGCUAUGCGGUAUCAUUGGUUGGCCGAUCAUGUUCUUGUUUGAUUGUUGGUCGAUCGAUUAAUGAUACUUGCAUAGUCUAAGUGUCUAACACUACAUGAGUAUUGAACUCAGGCGUAUAUAUGGUUAACUAGGGAUUGUUUGUUGACUUGUUUUAAUGCAGGUUCCCGUUACUUGAAGCUAGAUAAUGGCAGGAGGCCAAGUCUAACUUAGUAACGGUUUGCUUAGCCUUAGCUUUUAUUGCAUGCUAGGGCUAGAUUGAUUGUUAUUUUGGGUUGUCUGGGUAGAGUCUAGGUUGCGGGUAGAGGCCGCCAGCUCACUGAGUAACAUUAGGUUACUCAUCCAACUCUGUUGUCCUUUUUGCAGGUUACUUUAGGUAAGGAUGAUCGGAUAGCUUCGUGCUGGAUGUUAGGACCGCCGGUGUAGAUUUUCAUGCCUUUUGUAAACGGUAUUGUGGAUUUGUGUUUAGUUGACUCGAUUUGGCAUUAGGCCGGGACCGGUCUCGAAUUAUAUCAAUGUAUGGAUAUUUCUCGAAUCAAUAAAGUAAUUGUUUUAUAUGCGCUUCAUGAGUACUCUGAUAUUUGACUAGUCCGGUCUAACACAACGUUAGGUCGAGGUACGGGUUGAAAAGCCUUAGGCCUUGAUUUAACGGAAAACGCUAACUCUAGGUACGGGUUGCAAAGCCUUAUGCCUUGACGCAGCGGGACGAUUAGUGGAUGAACUGGUCUAGGUCGUGGAGUAAAGUUUGUGACUCUGACCUGAUUGUCCCUAGCCCGUCACGUAGCGCUUCCGGACCAUGGUGUUGGGUUGGACGGUCAGUCAUGUUCUUGUUUGAUUGUUGGCUGGCCGGUUGGCCUUUCAUCUCCAACCCUUGGUGUGGGUCGUCCGUCGGUCAUGUUCUUGUUUGAUUGUUGGCCGGUGGGUCGACCUAUGCUUAGGACGGUUCGGGGGUGUUACAGAAAGGGUCCUUUGGGCAGGACUUUUUGAGGUCUGUGAAAUCGAUGCAGACCCGCCAUUUUCCGUUCUUCUUCUUGACCACGACCACGUUGGCUAGCCACUCUGGGUACUGCACCUCUAGGAUGAACCCUGCUUCUAAUAGGUUCCUGACCUCUUUGUUGAUUAUAAUGUCUCUUUCCGGAGAAAAAAUUCUUCGCUUCUGUCUUGUAGGCUGGUGAGAGGGAUCCACCUGCAGCUGAUGCAUAAUGAUCUCGGGGUCGAUCCCGGGAAUGUCUGAAUGGGACCACGCAAAGCAAUCAGAAUUGGACCUGAGAAAAUCUACUAGCCUUCUUCUUAAUCCCUCGUGGAGCUUGGAGCCGAUCUUGAGGUUACGAGUUGAAUCGCCUUCGACUAGUGGCACAUCAUCCAUAUCCUCGACUUCUGGUUCCCCUGUGUUUGGAACUUGGGACUUGAUUUGCGGGGGCGGCGCAGCCUCGAUUUGUUUCUUCAUAGCGACUUGCUAGCAGCGGCGGGUGGUCUCCUGAUCUCCUCUAAUUGCCCUAACGCCCCAAGGAUUGGGAAAUUUUAUCGUCUGAUGGAGAGUCGAGGGAACUGCCCCCAUUCCAUGAAUCCACGCUUGGCCCAGGAUCAUGUUGUAGGGGGAGUGAAAAUUGACUACCAGGAGCCUAGUAGGUAGGCUGACCCCUUCAGCAUGGACAGGGAGGAUGACCUCCCCUGUUGUUUGCUUGACCUCCCCGCUGAAUCCGACAAGGGGGAUUGCUUUUCGUAUUAGGGCUUUCUCCUCCAGCCCCAGACCUUGGUAUGCGGUUUGGAAGAUGAUAUUACUGGAGCUGUCGCUAUCCACUAGUAUUCGUUUAACCAGGCAGUUUUCUACAGUAUGCAAGAUGACGAGGGCAUCGUGGUGUGGCACCAAGACUCCUCUCGUUCUUCGGUGGUGAAGGUUAUUUCAUCGGUUUCGGGAUACUCUGACUUGACACUCUCGGAGUUGCCCCAUAUGUCGCGGGCGUUUUCCUGAAUAGUGGCAUGGUUCACGCCGUAUGCCUCUGGUCCUUCGGAUAUGACAUGGAUCUUCUUACCUCUUAGGCAUGGCGGGACGGGCUCAGCUUUGACGAGUUUGUCUGCUGGACGUUGUAAAUUGUCGGAUAAGCCCUGGGGCUUGAUUCCUCUUCGAAUGGCUUCGGGUAGCUCUUUACGUUUAUCCAUCGCCAUCAUCACGUAGUUAGAUUAGUCCCCUCCUUCAAGCGCCAAACUGUUAGGGGAUUUUUGUGUAGGCUCUUUGUGAGUACUACGAAACGAUGGAUAAGCUGAUAGUUUAUAUGUAUUUCGUGAGGAUUUAGAGAGGAUAGGCUUGAAGAGUCAUAUUAUUAAUCAGACAAACAGGAACAAGAGAGGUUACAAAGUAUUCAGUAAGAACCCUAGUUCUAGCCAUCUAGUUCUAGUCUCUAAGCCUUGGGGAAGUAGGUCCCUUUCUUUAGGGUUUUUGUAGUCCUUAUGUAGUCGUCUAGGAGUCGGUUUCCUUAGGUUAAACUCUUCCAUAUUCGGAAAUAUGGAAGAUUCUCCAUUUCUUGGAAGGGAGCUCGGUUCCAGAGACCGAACUCAGGGUUCCUUCUAGCGGGGACCUGGAGCGUUCCCUUAUCGGGGACCCGAGGGUCUGGGUCCUGCCUGGAGGCUGGAGGAAAUGAUACCGGAGUAUUUUUCCCCAACAUCUUCCAUAUUCGGAAAUAUGGAAGAUUCUCCUUAUCAGAAGUUUUCCAUUUCUUGGAAGCGAGCUCGGUUCCAAGGACCAAACUCGGGGUUCCUUCUAGCGGAGACCUGGAGUGUUCCCUUAUCAGGGACCCGAGGGUCUGGGUUCUGCCUGGAGGCUGGACGAAAUGAUACCGGAGUAUUUUUGCCCAACAUCUUUCAUAUUCAGAAAUAUGGAAGGUUCUCCUUAUCAGAAGUUUUCCAUUUCUUGGAAGGGAGCUUGGUUCCAAGGACCAAACUCGGGGUUCCUUCUAGCGGAUACCUGGAGCGUUCCCUUAUCGGGGACCCGAGGGUCUGGGUCCUGCCUAGAGGCUGGAGGAAAUUAUACCGGGAUAUUUUUCCCCAACAGUCGGGGUGUGGCGAAAGUUAGUUUUAUGCCCCAGUCCUUGCAGAACUCCUUUAAGUUGUGGCUUGUGAACUGGCGUCCAUUGUCGGUGAUGAUCUCGUGGGGGACCCUGAAGCGAGUGAUUACGUAGGUCCACAGGAACUUGCGAAUCCUGAGAUCUGUUAUGAGGCUGAGCGCUUCUGCUUCGACCCACUUGGAGAAAUAGUCAGUGACUAUCAGAAGGAAGACCUUCUUCCCCGGCGCCAUAGGAAAUUUCCCUACUAUAUCCAUGCCCCACUUUCUGAAGGGGCAUGGUGAGCAUAUGGACUUGAGGUUCUCCGGGGGGAUCUUGGAGACUGGAGUGUGCCUUUGGCAUUGGUCGUAGUGUUUGGCUUGUCUAUUGGCGUUGGCGGCCAUCAUGGGCCAGUAGUAACCAUCCCUCUGGCUCUGAGCACCAGACUUCUGCCACUAGAGUGGGAUCCACAGUCUUCUUCGUGUAGUUCUACAAGGAUUCUAGCGGCUUCGUGGGGGUGUGACACACCUUAGGUACGGGCCAGAAAAAGACCUCGCGGCUCGCUUCUUGAUCUUUCUGGCCUCGCUACUGUCUUCCAGGAGGGUGUUGGCCUCCAGGUACUGAAUCAAGGGGGUCAUCCAAGGUUUGCCUUCUUCGACAGCUAAGACCUCCUCUGAUGGGGAUACUCAUCUGACUAUUUUCGAGGGCGGACCCUAGAUUGGCCAGGGCAUCGGCUUGUGAGUUUUGUUCCCGGGGGAUUUGAGUGAGUUUGCAGCUCUUGAACUUCUUGAUUAGUCGUUGGUGACCGCCAGAUACUGGAUCAUGCUGUCGUCUUUUGCUUGAUAUUCCCCUUGUACCUGGUUAAUUAUCAGCUGGGAGUCGCCGAAGACCUGGAUAUUUUCUGCCCCCAUUUGGUGAGCAAGGUUCAGGCCCGCGAUUAGGGCCUAAUACUCGCUUUCGUUGUUUGUUGCUUUGAAGUUGGAUCUCACGGCCCUUGAGGCUGUAUUCCCCGUUGGCGAGGUAAGUAUUAUCCUUACUCCAGAUCUUCUGACGUUGCUGGAUCCAUCAAUGUGAAGGAUCCAUUCUCCUUCUUCCUUAGUCUCGCCUUCGAGGCGUACCUCCUGCUCCAGAGCAGGGAGGAAGGCAGGGGAGAAUUAAGCCACGAAGUCUGCUAGGACCUGUGACUUUAUAGCCGUGGCAGGUUGAAAUAUUACGUCGUACUCCCCUAGUUCCACAGCCCAUUAUGCUAGGCGUCCGGAGACUUCGGGUUUGUGGAAGACCAACUUUAAAGGAAAGGAGGUAAUAACCACAAUUGGAUGAGCCUGGAAGUAGGGUCGGAGCUUGCGAGCGGCGACUAUCAGGGCUAAGGCCAGCUUUUCGAGGUGGCUGUAGCGGGUCUCCGCGUCCAGGAGAGCCUUGCUUACAUAGUAGAUUGGUAGCUGCAUGUUCCCCUCCUCACGAACUAAGACGGCGCUCACGGCGUGUUCGGAGACUGCUAUAUAUAGCAGCAGGACUUCACCGAGUAGUGGCUUAGACAGGAGAGGAGGAGUGGUAAGAUACGAUUUCAGCUCUUGGAGGGCGGAUUCGCAUUCUUCCGUCCACUGAAAAUCCUUCGGAUUCUUGAGAGUUCCAAAAAUGGCGUGAGAUUUGUCGGAGACUCUGGAGAUGAAUCUGCUCAAGGCUGCCAUCCUUCCCGUUAGCUUUUGAACCUCCAUGACGUUCUUCGGGGAAGUGAUCGAGUGGAUGGCCCUGAUUUGCUCCGGGUUGGCCUCGAUGCCCCGGUGGGUUACAAUUUACCUGAGAAACUUGCCAGAGCUGACCCCGAAUGAGUAUUUAGCUGGGUUGAGCAUCAUGUUGUAUUUCCUGAGGGUGGAAAAGGCUUGCUGCAGGUGAGAUAUGUGGUCUUCCGCUUCCAGGGAUUUAACCAUCAUGUCGUCGAUGUAGACCUCCAUGGUUCUCCCAAUUUGGUCCACGAACAUCAUGUUCACCAGCCGCUGAUAGGUCGCUCCCGCAUUCUUUAGGCCGAAGGGCAUAACCUUAUAGCAGUACAUCCCUCUAGACGUCAUGAAGGAUGUUUUCUCCUGGUCUUCCGGAUGCAUGAGUAUCUGAUUAUAGCCGGAGAACGCGUCCAUGAAGCUCAUGAACUGGAGCCCCGCGGUGGCAUCCACCAGCUUGUCGAUAUGAGGUAGCUGGAAGGGGUCCUUUGGACAGGAUUUAUUGAGGUCCGUGAAGUCAAUGCAGACUCUCCACUUUCCGUUAUUUUUCUUGACCACGACGACGUUGGCUAGCCACUCUGGAUACUGCACCUCACGAAUGAACCCCACGCCUAGCAGGAUCUUGACUUCAUUGUUGAUGAUCGCAUCUCUCUCUGGAGCAAACUUCCGUCUCUUUUGUCUGACGGGUUGGUGUAGGGGAUCUACCUGCAGCUUAUGCAUGAUGAUCUCCGGAUCGAUCCCAGGCAUGUCCGCGUGGGACCAGGCGAAGCAAUGGGAGUUAUACCUGAGGAAGUCUAUCAGUCUUCUUCUAAACCCUUCGGUUAGCUUUGAGCGAUUUGGGGAUGCCUGGUCUGAUCCCCUUCGGUUAAUGGCACCUCAUCCAUUUCUUCUACCUCCGGUUCCUGGGUGUUUGGAUUUAGACUCGUGGUCUUUGGACCUUGAAGUCUUCUUAAAGAUUGAUCUAACCAGCGGGUUUCGUCUUUGUAUUGGAGUUGGGCCCGAGCAUUAUAAAGAACUUGGAGGUUUACCUUUUCCAGGUCCUGAAGAAAUUUGUUCAAGACCCGGAGACUUCAUGGGGACCCGAAAGUAUUUGAAAGGGACCGUAUGCUGCCACCCUAGGUGAGGCCUCUACCGGUACCUGUGGGGAUUUCGUAUUCUACUGCUCGGAAGCUAGUCACUAUCGAGUUCCCGUGCUGCACCCUGCUUUCUGCAGAAAGCCACUAUCAGUCUUAGAGGGUGCUGGUGUGGGUGAAAACCCAAGUGCCAGACUUACGCUGUUUUUCCACGUUUGGAGAAACAUGAUAUUAUUGAGGUGCUCCCGGACUUUUGCACUUUCUCAGUGGCAAUUAUACCUCAUGUCCCCUGUAUCAAUUUAGCCCGUAGCGUUUUAAUACAUGUACCUUUCACUUUUUUGGUAUUUUAGUUUGGGACCCUGAUAUGUCUGAGGCUAUACAGGGGUUUUAGUUAGUAUUGACGGCAUACUCGGGCUUGCGCAGACCCAUUCCUACCUUAUGCCUCAUACCCGUUUUGUUUUUGUGUGGUCGUGCCACUUAUCAUUAAGGGUUGGCCAGGAUCGGAGGUCUCUUUGACCUGAUCCAGCUCGUUUCCCCUUUAAAUAUUAUGGUAUUUGUACUCUCUCUUAUAGUCGAAACUAUUUUAUUAUAUAAGCUAUGUUCGUAGACUUUCAGCGUACAUAUGAGUAGAAAAACAUAAUGCUUAAAAUAAAAGAUAGAAUAAUUAAAUAGAAAUCAUGGUCCGGAGACUGUACAAGAUAUCAGCUUCCGAGAUACCCCAGUGGUUAGGCCAUGUUUUACCUCUUAUUGUAGUGUGACCCGUUGUAGAAACCCGUAAAAAAAAAAAAAAAAAAAAAGAGAGAAUGGUCGAGUAUCUUUGUGGUGGUCGAGUCGCGGGCGAUAUGGGUCGAUCGAGAAGUUUUGAAGUACGAAGUGGGCGAAGAAGUGAUCGUGAGUUAACUAUGGGUCGAAUAAGUUGCUCGACCAUAGUUAGAAGAUGUCUUAGAUUGAUGAGACGGACGUUUUCGAAGCAUAACAUUUUUGGAAGCACGACGGUUUAGAAGCUCGACGUUUUGGAAGAAUGACGUUUCUUCAGCAUGAAGUUUUCCGCAAAACUUCGUAUCAGCGGAAUAUUAUUUCGAAGACAUUGGAAACAUGAUGGGAAUUAAGCAGGACGGGAAGCAAGCACGACGGGAUUGAAGCACGACGGGAAAACCCGAAGUUGGCGAAAACCCUAAUUUCGGUAUUAUGAAAUUCUUUGAGGAAGCCGGAGGCUCGAGAAAUAUUUUUAAAGGAUAUCAGAUAUCAUCUGGAAUUUAUUAAAAAUAUUAAACUCAUCUGAAUGGGAGAAGAAAAAUAUUCAAGAUUAAUCGCGGGUCAGAAAUUUACGGGAAGGACCGAAAUCAGGCCAAUGGACCGAGAAGCUCGAGGUGACUCGUUGCAAGGGUUCAGAACGUGGUGUCAACCAUCCAGAAAGCUCAGUGUCUACAGAAGCUCGAGGUGUCACCGUGCAUGGAAGCUGCACAUGCAGCUUGACAUGUAGAAGCACGAGGUGGAUCGGCCAAGCACGAGAUGUCGCGACGCAUGCAACCGAAGCAUGCUGAUCGACAUGUGUGAGGAUGUGUGGCGCCUUGCAUGAGCUCCAGUCAUGCAGCCUGACAUCUGGGAGGAGUGGUGGCGUCCUGCAUGUUUCCUGGACAUGCAGCCAGCCAUGUGGAGCACGAGGUGGAUCGGCCAAGCACGAGAUGUCGCGACGCAUGCAACCGAAGCAUGCUGAUCGACAUGUGUGAGGAUGUGUGGCGCCUUGCAUGAGCUCCAGUCAUGCAGCCUGACAUCUGGGAGGAGUGGUGGCGUCCUGCAUGUGUCCUGGACAUGCAGCCAGCCAUGUGGAGCACGUGGUGCCGUCGUGCAUGCGUCCGGAGCCAUGCGGAGCGACACACAGGCUGCCACCAACCUGAAGCUGAUUGGCUGGUGUCUCCUAUAAAUACCCCACGACCCCAGCUCAUUUCUUCACAUCCAGACCUGUCCAAACCAAGUUAAAAACAUGAGAGAAAAGUAGAAAAAGAAAGCAAGUGAUUCCGAGCUAUAUCGAGGUUUUUGAGGGUUUUUGAGAGUUUUCGAGGUCAGUUCUCUACUGAUUUCGAGUCAGCACCUUGGGAAGGUUCUGUCCAACUGAAGAUCAAUCAAGGGAAGAUCAGUUCAGAUGGGAAGUCAACGUGGCUAUGGAGAGAGAGAUAAAGAAAGGGGUUGAUCUAGAGUAUGGUCGAUUCUGAAGACCGAUACUCCACCGAGAAGGCCAGUUCCGUCCAAUAGUCGAUUAUUUACGAUUGUGACGCGGAAGCUCUGUCCAAUUCAAUCCGUCCAAGCCAGUCAUAUUCUCCUACAAUUAAGUGAGGUACUGUCCAAGAUUAGUUCAGUUCCAUGGGUUCAGAUCAGUUGAAGUUCUACUCGAUACUGCACCGGGAAGUCGAAGAACUGUCCAGAAGCUAAUGGAGGUUCUGUCCGAGUCCAGAUCAGCCUAUCGAGGCCUUUCAGUUUCUUCAUGGUGAAGCCGAGGUUGUGUCCAAGACAAGAUCAGUCUAGUCCAGUCCAGUCAAGGCGUCUCUUGGGUUUUGGCUAAGUCCUCUCCGAUCAACCAGCUGCUUCUCGCCUAGAACACUGUGAGUUGGUUUGUUUGAAUUCCACUUGGAAUUUAGGGUAGUUUUGUGAGUUGGUUUGUUUGAAUUCCACUUGGAAUUUAGGGUAGAUCAAGUCUGCAUAUAGAUUAGAAUGAUCACGCUAUUGAAUGGUAGAGUCCUUAGGGUUAUUUUAUUUAUGGAACCGGACUCAGUUUAGCAAGGGCUAAGCUGAGAUGAAUGGAAUUAAGACUGAGUUAAUAACCUGACUAGGACUAGGGCUAGGAUGCAUCAUGUUUUCUAUUAUUGCGUGUUGAUAUUGUUGAGUGCAGGUUCCCGUUAUCUUUAAAGAUAGUUUCUCAGCGGGAGGCUGGACUAUCUGGGUAACGGUUUGAUUGUGUUGUUUAGUAUUGAUAUUAUUGUUUAGUAGUUAGUACUAAGGGUCUUAGGCCAUAUAGGCCGGACUACUGGUACUAUUGGUUUGUGUUGUAGAGUCGAGUGUCUAGUUUGGAUCUGGAACUUUGGCUUUAGGUUAGGUUCUAGAUUGAGUUUGUUUUGUUGUGAGUGUGCCGACAGUAUGUGCGAAAGCCGCCCAUACUAGGCUUGUGUAGGGGUGAUUAGUGUUUCCUCGGCCUCGUACCCAGCGGGUUCAAGGAAACCCCUUAUUCGCUGGAUCGGGAAGACUCAGACGAACGGUGUCAUGUACUAUGGCUGAGUAUUACACGACGGUGUAAUGUGGCAGUGACCCGAAGGACUGUGGGCUGUCGCGCGGUGACCCGAAUGACUGUGGGCCGCGGUCGGUUGAAAGUUCCUUCUUCUGGCCUUUGUGGUAGGGAGAUAGGAUAUUGCCGAUAGAGAGGAGGAACACGAUGUCACCAGGGCCCAGGUUAGAGUGUUGUGUUAGAGUGUCGUAGAGGGUUAUGGAACCCUCGAGUUAGUGUAGCACCGAUAUACGGUGUUAUGAGUUAGAUCGAGUCGUAGUUACUCAUAGUCUUAUUAUUGUGAUUGUGUUUGUGGUUGAUUGAUUUGGUUGCAGGUUCUGACGUUAAGUCUAAGUCUGGUUUAGGUACCGGAUUAGGCUUGAUGUGUAUUUCGUUAGUGUAGGCCUGACGUUGGCCUGUAUGUGUUUGAGUGAUUGCUUGUGAAGGGUGGUGGAUAUUAAAGCUAUGCGGUAUCAUUGGUUGGCCGAUCAUGUUCUUGUUUGAUUGUUGGUCGAUCGAUUAAUGAUACUUGUAUAGUCUAAGUGUCUAAUACUACAUGAGUAUUGAACUCAGGCGUAUAUAUGGUUAACUAGGGAUUGCUUGUUGACUUGUUUUAAUGCAGGUUCCCGUUACUUGAAGCUAGAUCAUGGCAGGAGGCCAAGUCUAACUUAGUAACGGUUUGCUUAGCCUAAGCUUUUAUUGCAUGCUAGGGCUAGAUUGAUUGUUAUUUUGGGUUGUCUGGGUAGAGUCUAGGUUGCGGGUAGAGGCCGCCAGCUCACUGAGUAAUACUAGAUUACUCAUCCAACUCCGUUGUCCUUUUUGCAGGUCGCUUUAGGUAAGGAUGAUCGGAUAGCUUCGUGCUGGACGUUAGGACCGCCGGUGUAGAUUUUCAUGCCUUUUGUAAACGGUAUUGUGAAUUGUGUUAUGUUGACUCGAUUUGGCAUUAGGCCGGGCCCAGUCUUGAAUUAUUCAAUGUAUGAAUAUUUCUUGAAUCAAUAAAAGUAAUUGUUUUAUAUGCGCUUCAUGAGUACUCUGAUAUUUGACUAGUCCGGUCUAACACAACGUUAGGUCGAGGUACGGGUUGAAAAGCCUUAGGCCUUGAUCUAACGGAAAACGCUAACUCUAGGUACGGGUUGCAAAGCCUUAUGCCUUGACGCAGCGGGACGAGUUAGUGGAUGAACUGGUCAGGUCGUGGAGUAAAGUUUGUGACUCUGACCGGAUUGUCCCUAGCCCGUCACGUAGCGCUUCCGGACCAUGGUGUUGGGUUGGAUGGUCAGUCAUGUUCUUGUUUGAUUGUUGGCUGGCCGGUUGGCCUUUCAUCUCCAACCCUUGGUGUGGGUCGUCCGUCGGUCAUGUUCUUGUUUGAUUGUUGGCUGGUGGGUCGACCUAUGCUUAGGACGGUUCGGGGGUGUUACAGAGGUGGUAUCAGAGCAUGGUUUUGUCCAUGCUUCCGGAACUCAUGAUUUAAUCGGUUUUAAAUAUUUAUCGAGUCAAAAGAGUCACAAAAGGCAUUAGGGAAACCGGUCACGUCCAGCGAUAGGAUUUGUUGUUUUAGGAAUUAGGAUUGAGAUAGUGGAAUCUAGAAUUGCUAGGUUGCUUGUUUAGAACUGUUAGGUUGCUGGUUAGCAUUGCUAGGUUGUUGUUAGUAGACUAUUGGGAUUAGUUGUCUACUAACUUGUGUGAAGUGUUCUUUUGAGUUGCAGCGAGUAAGUGUGUUUGUUGAUCGGAACUUUAAGGAAUGAAAACCUUAAAGUGGAGGGAGUUCGAGGCCAAACCCAAACCGAAGCAAAAGAGGAGAGACAGGUUCAGAGGGACUGGACAGUGGUAUGGACUGGACAGAUGGGAGGAAACAAGACUUCGUUGGGAAAUGACUUCAUCAGUAGUUGGGAAGACGAAGAUCGAGAAGGUUGAGGAAUCUGUACAAGGAUGGUAUCUAUCAAAACGACAAGAUAGUAUCAUGGGCGAUGAAUGUGUUAUGACAGAGAAAAAGUAGGAGAAUGACUAAGUGAUCAUUCAACUGAUGAGAUAUGAAGACGAUUGUGGAGGCCUUGAAGAGGACGCUCAAGGAACCGUGGUGGACAGAGUAAAGAAGUUAUGGAGAAUGUUGUGAAGAAGAGCAAUUUCACAGCUAAGAAUUCGAGGACGAAUUCUAUUAAGGGGGAGAGAAUGUAGAAACCCGUAAAAAAAAAAAAAAAAAAAAAGAGAGAAUGGUCGAGUAUCUUUGUGGUGGUCGAGUCGCGGGCGAUAUGGGUCGAUCGAGAAGUUUUGAAGUACGAAGUGGGCGAAGAAGUGAUCGUGAGUUAACUAUGGGUCGAAUAAGUUGCUCGACCAUAGUUAGAAGAUGUCUUAGAUUGAUGAGACGGACGUUUUCGAAGCAUAACAUUUUUGGAAGCACGACGGUUUAGAAGCUCGACGUUUUGGAAGAAUGACGUUUCUUCAGCAUGAAGUUUUCCGCAAAACUUCGUAUCAGCGGAAUAUUAUUUCGAAGACAUUGGAAACAUGAUGGGAAUUAAGCAGGACGGGAAGCAAGCACGACGGGAUUGAAGCACGACGGGAAAACCCGAAGUUGGGCGAAAACCCUAAUUUCGGUAUUACGAAAUUCUUUGAGGAAGCCGGAGGCUCGAGAAAUAUUUUUAAAGGAUAUCAGACAUCAUCUGGAGUUUAUUAAAAAUAUUAAACUCAUCUGAAUGGGAGAAGAAAAAUAUUCAAGAUUAAUCGCGGGUCAGAAAUUUACGGGAAGGACCGAAAUCAGGCCAAUGGACCGAGAAGCUCGAGGUGACUCGUUGCAAGGGUUCAGAACGUGGUGUCAACCAUCCAGCAAGCUCAGUGUCUACAGAAGCUCGAGGUGUCAUCGUGCAUGGAAGCUGCACAUGCAGCUUGACAUGUAGAAGCACGAGGUGGAUCGGCCAAGCACGAGAUGUCGCGACGCAUGCAACCGAAGCAUGCUGAUCGACAUGUGUGAGGAUGUGUGGCGCCUUGCAUGAGCUCCAGUCAUGCAGCCUGACAUCUGGGAGGAGUGGUGGCGUUCUGCAUGUUUCCUGGACAUGCAGCCAGCCAUGUGGAGCACGAGGUGGAUCGGCCAAGCACGAGAUGUCGCGACGCAUGCAACCGAAGCAUGUUGAUCGACAUGUCUGAGGAUGUGUGGCGCCUUGCAUGAGCUCCAGUCAUGCAGCCUGACAUCUGGGAGGAGUGGUGGCGUCCUGCAUGUGUCCUGGACAUACAGCCAGCCAUGUGGAGCACGAGGUGCCGCCGUGCAUGCGUCCGGAGCCAUGCGGAGCGACACACAGGCUGCCACCAACCUGAAGCUGAUUGGCUGGUGUCUCCUAUAAAUACCCCACGACCCCAGCUCAUUUCUUCACAUCCAGACCUGUCCAAACCAAGUUAAAAACAUGAGAGAAAAGUAGAAAAAGAAAGCAAGUGAUUCCGAGCUAUAUCGAGGGUUUUUGAGGGUUUUUGAGAGUUUUCGAGGUCAGUUCUCUACUGAUUUCGAGUCAGCACCUUGGGAAGGUUCUGUCCAACUGAAGAUCAAUCAAGGGAAGAUCAGUUCAGAUGGGAAGUCAACGUGGCUAUGGAGAGAGAGAUAAAGAAAGGGGUUGAUCUAGAGUAUGGUCGAUUCUGAAGACCGAUACUCCACCGAGAAGGCCAGUUCCGUCCAAUAGUCGAUUAUUUACGAUUGUGACGCGGAAGCUCUGUCCAAUUCAAUCCGUCCAAGCCAGUCAUAUUCUCCUACAAUUAAGUGAGGUACUGUCCAAGAUUAGUUCAGUUCCAUGGGUUCAGAUCAGUUGAAGUUCUACUCGAUACUGCACCGGAAAGUCGAAGAACUGUCCAGAAGCUAAUGGACGUUCUGUCCGAGUCCAGAUCAGCCUAUCGAGGCCUUUCAGUUUCUUCAUGGUGAAGCCGAGGUUGUGUCCAAGACAAGAUCAGUCCAGUCCAGUCCAGUCAAGGCGUCUCUUGGGUUUUGGCUAAGUCCUCUUCGAUCAACCAGCUGCUUCUCGCCUAGAACACUGUGAGUUGGUUUGUUUGAAUUCCACUUGGAAUUUAGGGUAGUUUUGUGAAUUGGUUUGUUUGAAUUCCACUUGGAAUUUAGGGUGGAUCGAGUCUGCAUAUAGAUUAGAAUGAUCACGCUAUUGAAUGGUAGAGUCCUUAGGGUUAUUUUAUUUAUGGAACCGGACUCAGUUUAGCAAGGGCUAAGCUGAGAUGAAUGGAAUUAAGACUGAGUUAAUAACCUGACUAGGACUAGGGCUAGGAUGCAUCAUGUUUUCUAUUAUUGCGUGUUGAUAUUGUUGAGUGCAGGUUCCCGUUAUCUUUAAAGAUAGUUUCUCAGCGGGAGGCUGGACUAUCUGGGUAACGGUUUGAUUGUGUUUUUUAGUAUUCAUAUUAUUGUUUAGUAGUUAGUACUAAUUGUCUUAGGCCAUAUAGGCCGGACUACUGGUACUAUUGGUUUGUGUUGUAGAGUCGAGUGUCUAGUUUGGAUCUGGAACUUUGGCUUUAGGUUAGGUUCUAGAUUGAGUUUGUUUUGUUGUGAGUGUGCCGACAGUAUGUGCGAAACCCGCCCAUACUAGGCUUGUGUAGGGGUGAUUAGUGUUUCCUCGGCCUCGUACCCAGCGGGUUCAAGGAAACCCCUUAUUCGCUGGAUCGGGAAGACUCAGACGAACGGAGUCAUGUACUAUGGCUGAGUAUUACACGACGGUGUAAUGUGGCAGUGACCCGAAGGACUGUGGGCUGUCGCGCGGUGACCCGAAUGACUGUGGGCCGCGGUCGGUUGAAAGUUCCUUCUUCUGGCCUUUGUGGUAGGGAGAUAGGAUAUUGCCGAUAGAGAGGAGGAACACGAUGUCACCAGGGCCCAGGUUAGAGUGUUGUGUUAGAGUGUCGUAGAGGGUUAUGGAACCCUCGAGUUAGUGUAGCACCGAUAUACGGUGUUAUGAGUUAGAUCGAGUCGUAGUUACUCAUAGUCUUAUUAUUGUGAUUGUGUUUGUGGUUGAUUGAUUUGCUUGCAGGUUCUGACGUUAAGUCUAAGUCUGGUUUAGGUACCAGAUUAGGCUUGAUGUGUAUUUCGUUAGUGUAGGCCUGACGUUGGCCUGUAUGUGUUCGAGUGAUUGCUUGUGAAGGGUGGUGGAUAUUAAAGCUAUGCGGUAUCAUUGGUUGGCCGAUCAUGUUCUUGUUUGAUUGUUGGUCGAUCGAUUAAUGAUACUUGUAUAGUCUAAGUGUCUAACACUACAUGAGUAUUGAACUCAGGCGUAUAUAUGGUUAACUAGGGAUUGCUUGUUGACUUGUUUUAAUGCAGGUUCCCGUUACUUGAAGCUAGAUCAUGGCAGGAGGCCAAGUCUAACUUAGUAACGGUUUGCUUAGCCUAAGCUUUUAUUGCAUGCUAGGGCUAGAUUGAUUGUUAUUUUGGGUUGUCUGGGUAGGGUCUAGGUUGCGGGUAGAGGCCGCCAGCUCACUGAGUAAUACUAGAUUACUCAACCAACUCUGUUGUCCUUUUUGCAGGUCGCUUUAGGUAAGGAUGAUCGGAUAGCUUCGUGCUGGACGUUAGGACCGCCGGUGUAGAUUUUCAUGCCUUUUGUAAACGGUAUUGUGAAUUGUGUUAUGUUGACUCGAUUUGGCAUUAGGCCGGGCCCAGUCUUGAAUUAUUCAAUGUAUGAAUAUUUCUUGAAUCAAUAAAAGUAAUUGUUUUAUAUGCGAUUCAUGAGUACUCUGAUAUUUGACUAGUCCGGUCUAACACAACGUUAGGUCGAGGUACGGGUUGAAAAGCCUUAGGCCUUGAUCUAACGGAAAACGCCAACUCUAGGUACGGGUUGCAAAGCCUUAUGCCUUGACGCAGCGGGACGAGUUAGUGGAUGAACUGGUCAAGGUCGUGGAGUAAAGUUUGUGACUCUGACCGGAUUGUCCCUAGCCCGUCACGUAGCGCUUCCGGACCAUGGUGUUGGGUUGGACGGUCAGUCAUGUUCUUGUUUGAUUGUUGGCUGGCCGGUUGGCCUUUCAUCUCCAACCCUUGGUGUGGGUCGUCCGUCGGUCAUGUUCUUGUUUGAUUGUUGGCCGGUGGGUCGACCUAUGCUUAGGACGGUUCGGGGGUGUUACACCCGUGGGGUUCGAUUUGCUUUUGAAACGAACGUCUUCGCUGGAGGGUUCCUUCAUCCUCUAUAGGGUUUUGCAUCUUUUUGAAUCUAGGGACCUCGUUUGGGAGUUGUUUCAUGCCCCAGCCCUUGCGGAUCUCUGUGUUGUUGACGUUCAGGGGCCAUUGUCUUCUAUCGAUGGAGGUUUUCAGCGCUUCCAUGAAGCAUGUAGUCGCAUUCAUCCCUUGGAGAAAAUGUGUUCGGAGGUCUCCUAUCUCCGUCUGGUGCCUGCUGGGGGCUCUCUUCCGAGGGGGUUUUGUCGAGGUGUUCGUGCCCCGCUUGUUUAUAUGUGAGAUCACCGGUUGAUAAUUGUUGAAGCUUUUGGCUAUCUUAUCUAUGUGAGGCAGAGGACGAGGGUCAUGUGGGGACCAGACUCUAUGAGCAGGUGCCACCUUGCAGGUUUUUAGGGGAGACCAUGCGAAGCGGUCGACGUAAGCUCUCUAGAAGCUUUUUGGAUGUAGGGUCCGGACUCUGCAGAGGGUUCCUAAAUUGCCCCUACUGUUGACCCCUGAUUCCUUAUUCCGCGGGAUCUGAGGUCUCCUCUGUAGUUGCUAUAAGACCUUGGUUUUCCCCUUUAAGGUGGUCUGGUAGCAGGACCUAGAAUUCUCCUGGUCUCCUCUGAUUGCUCUGAUGCUUCUUUGCUAAGAUGAGCCUUGGCUUUCUCUGAAAGGAUUUCUCGGAGAUGCCCCUUUUGGGCAGUUCGUUGACCUCGAUCUUCAGGGCGUCGCAGUCUUCCAUUUUGUGGCCGUGAUCGCGACCGGAAGUCGCACCAGAGUCCUGGGUUCUGGAACGAGUCAGGUGCUUUCUUCUUUGGGGGCCAUUUGACCUGUUGGCCCAUCUGCCUCAGCGUGUUAACCAGCUCUGGUGUGGAUAUUGAGAGAUGGGAGAUAUCUGGCCAGGUAGACACAGACAUCCCUUCUUCUUUUUCUAAUGGGCGCUAUUGGAACCUGCCCUGGUUCCUGCUUCCGGAGUCCUUGGAUUCCUUUUGGGAGGAUCUUUCUUCUUGGUCUCCCUGGUUUGAUCGGGUGGACCUCUGAUCCUGUUUCGGUUUAGCCUUGGCGCGGCUAGCGACGUCCUCUUCCCACUUCACAUGUGCCCAUGCUCGGGAUAACACAUCCUCCAUGGGUUUGCAAGGUUACAUGGUUAGCUAUUUGUAGAGCCCUCCGUCUGGAAGUAGGCAUCUCUUGAAGGCAGAGAUUGCGGUAGGGAUAUGUUGGGGAAAAAUUUCCCGGUAUUAUUUCCCCAGCCUCCAGGCAGGACUCAGUUCCCCAGAUCACUGGUAAAUGAGUACCCCGGGUCCCCGCCGGAGGAAACCUUAAGCUCGGCUCCUGGACCCUGUGAAGGACCCUAAGAUCGGCUCACUCGAAUGGAUCAGAUUUGGAUAUGAACUCGAAAUGGAGAACUAGAUGGAAUUAAGGGUCGCACGAAGGUUGCGGAUUGGCCUUCGAUAUUCCCGACUUCAGAUGGUGCUUGAUAUGACUCACAAGUCCACCAAAUGAAGAAUCUCGAACCCUUACUUGAUAUGACUCACAAGACCAACGAAAAAGAGAAGUGUUUACUUGGAUAUGACUCACCAACAAAAUAAGAACAAGUUCUUAAACGAAGAACAAAGAGUUUAACUCAAACUUUAGACAAAAACGAUUUCUGAUCUAUUAAAAUGAAAGAGUUUCAUACUUAUAGAGUUUUGUAGAUGAUAUCACUCAAAUUACUCUAAAGAGUGUUACUCUCAUCAAAAGAGGUUCAAAUGUAAUACUUAGGGAUCGAAUCCACAGAGACUCUAGAAUUACUCAACAGACUUAAAUAAUUAGAAAUGAAGAUAGACUGAAAGGUUUUAAUAGUUUUAGAAGCAGUAAAUGAUAAAUCGAAAACAACAGUGAUUCAAUAGAUUGAAUUGAAGUGGUUUCAAGAUUGGGAAAGCAGCUAGAUUCAGGCAAUUCUCAGGUAUAAAAUGUAUGCACUUAGUUUAGACUAAAGGGUUUAAUGGUUCUUGAACGAAACAUUGAUUUAACCAGAUAGGUUAUCUUCACUAGAUCUCGGAUCUCAACUGUCGUAUUUGGAUCUCGAGAGAGUGUCGAUCGAUGUGACUUGAUGUACAUCGACCGAUACACCUUUGUAACGAUCGACCGACAGAACGAUAGUUGCGUCGAUCGACGGUUAUUCUAGCGAGCUUUGCGAACGGGUUUAACUUGUUAUCUAACCUUCUCAGACCAACUGUCGUUGCGCCUGAGUUAGUUAGAUCACGCAAAUGGGUUCAGGUAUUGAGGGGAAACGGUUAGUUGGACUCAAUUAAUCCUAUGAUCUAAAAUGAAGGUGAUCAAUCUCAAUUUUAGCAUUAAGUCCAUAAGCAAUGAAAGAACAAUCAAAACACCUUUUUAACAGUCAUAUUAGCAGUACAUAAUUUCAACCAUGGUGAGAAACCUAAAUCUAACAAUUGGUUUACUCAAACAUAUUCAUGAGAGACAAAGUCAUGAUGGUGUGAAAUAAACUCAAAUGAAACAUAGAACACAAAUAGAUAGAGUAAUAAAAAUAAAGGAGUUCAAGAUCUUCUCUGUUUUGCAGUCUCAAAUCUAUCUCUCCAUUCCUAAGCUCUCCUAAUGGUAGCCAAAAUGCUCCUCUCCAAAACUAGGUCUUUUGCAAGUGUCUGUUAGAAAUGAUUCAAAACCCUAGUACAUAUAGCCUAACAGGUGGCUAGGGACUUAAGUUGUAAAUAAUAGAACUUCUGGGAAAUGAAAUCUUUUAAUUUGCGAUUUCAUCCGUGUGACUGGGCAUCGAUCGAUGCACAUGUGUGUAUGUCGAUCGAUGGUAAGUGAUUAUGAUCGACCGAUGUUGCUCUUCAAGCGUCGAUCGAUUUUCCUUGCAUAAAAGCAUUCUAAAAUGUCCCAAAAGUAUCAUUUCCUUCCAUCUGGUGAAUAAACCUGUAUUUGCUUUGAAAAGACUCUAAAACAUGAUUAAUACAUCUUAAAACCUUUAUAUACCAUGUAUAAAAACGGGUGAAAAUCAUAGUAUAUCAACUCCCCCAGACUUAUCUUUUGACUUGUCCUCAAGUUAAACCAAUGGACAAUCUCUCUGGAAGAGGGUUGAAAACAUCAGGGACUCACAGAUUUGAAACAUUGAAAUUAUCACCUCUAUAAUAUUGCAUUCCACAUCUAAGGUUUCUUCUUACAGAUAUACAUUAUGCAAUAUCCUAGCUUAGCAACCAAAAUCAUCUAGCCAACAAUCUUAACUGAUCUUAUUAUCAAUCUCCUCAACCAACCUCAUUUCUUAAUGUAAAAAGUGUAGGGUUUACCUUGGGAGUAUCGAUCACAGGAUGCAAGGAUUUCAGACAAGUAUCUGGAGCUGCAGGUAAAAGUUAGUUCCUAGUUUCUCUCUCUCUAAAUUUCUCUCUUGGGUCAGAGUUUGCUUCCAUUGCAGGAUCAGUGACCAAGAUUGGACAGGCUUCCAUGAAUCAAAACUUAAUGGUGGGUGUAACACCCUCGAACCGUCCUAGGCAUAGGUCGACCCACCGGCCAACAAUCAAACAAGAACAUGACCGACGGACCAACCAACACCAAGGAUUGGAGAUGAAAGGCCAACCGGCCAGCCAACAAUCAAACAAGAACAUGACUGACCGUCCAACCCAACACCAUGGUCCGGAAGCGCUACGUGACGAGCUAGGGACGAACCGGUCCGAGUCACAGAUUUAUUCCGCAACCUAGACUAGUUCAUCCACUAACACGUCCCGCUAAAUCAAGGCUUAAGGCUUUGCAACCUGUACCAUGAGUUAACGGUUCCGUUAGAUCGAGGCCUAAGGCUUUUCAACCCGUACCAAGACCUAACGUUGUGUUGGUUCGGACUAAACCAAUAUCAUAUUGGACCCGUUAAUUUUUUUAAGAUUUAAAUCCAAGAUUUUUAAGAAUAUUUGCAAUACUUUAGGGAUCCCAAAUCCGAUAAAACGCAACGGAAACAUAAAUCGUAUAAAAAUCAAACCGUAGCCAAAUGCACUGCAAAUCUACUCCGGUGGCCUACGCGUCCAAUCUCCUAUAACCUAAACUCCUGCAAAAAGGACAACGAGAGUUGGGUGAGUAACAGAAGGUCACUCAGUGAGCUGGCUACCUAAAUACCUUAACCUAGUAGCUAGCUCAGACAACCCAAAAAUAACAAUCAAUCUAGCCUAAGCGCAGAAAACAAAGCUUUAAGGCUAAUCCCCAAAACCGCACCGAUUAAGGUAUGCUCGACCUUAAUCUAAUAAUACUAAUAAUAGACAUGGCCAAACGACCAUCUACUCAACGGAUCCCUAAUCUAACAAUCAAGACUCGAUCAACACCGUAUCUCGGUGCUAACACUAUCUCGAGGGUUCCUCACCCUCAAGACGACACAAUAAAACUAACUCGACACACUAUUCUAACUCUAGACUCAAUACUCUAACAUGGGCCCUGGUGAUCUCGUGUUCCUCCUCAACAUCGGCAAUAUCCUAUCUCCCUACCACAAAGGCCAGAAGAAGGAACUUUCAACCGACCGCGGCCCACAGUCCUUCGGGUCACCGCGCGACAGCCCACAGUCCUUCGGGUCACUGCCACAUUACACCGUCGUGUAAUAACUCAGCCCUAGGCCAUGAUCCCGUCUCUCUGAGUCUUCCCGAUCCAACGAAUAAGGGGUUUCCUUAAACCCGCUGGGUACGAGGCUGAGGAAACACUAAUCACCCCUAAACAAGCCUAGUAUAGACGGGUUACGCUCAUACUGUCGGCUACAACACACUAAUCCUAAUAAGACCAAGACUCCUACCACAAACUUAAAUACACUAAGGAGUCUACGACACUAACACCAGUACUCGUAGUCCAGCCUAUAUGGCAUAGGACUCGUAGUACUAAACUCGACACGGAUGGAAAUCGGCCUAUAUGGCCUAAGAUCUCCUGAACAAUACCAUCCCUGCACAACAACAAUCACUACCAAACCAAGCAUUCAAUAGUCCUAAUAUCUCUAAGGCAGGUCUACUCCGUUACUAAACUACCCAUAAAUAAAUAAAGGAAAACAUGCAUCUCAAUCCUAACAAUUCAGCUAGGCCAUAAUUUAUCAUACUAUACCGGUUAAUGCAUCAUUCAUCCUAGUCCUAGUCAGGUUAUAACUCAGUCUUAAUUCCAUUAUAUCUCAGCUUAGCCCAUGCUAAACUGAGUCCAAUUCAUAAAUAAAAAUAACCCUAGGACUCUAUCAUGCAUCAGUGUGAUAUUACUACUCUAUAUGCAACUCGAUCUAUCCUAAGUUCCAAGUGGAACUCAAACAAACCAACUCACAGUGUUCUUGCAGCUGGUUGAUCGGAGAGAGCCUAGCAAAAACCCAAUGCCUCUGUCUUCAAUGGACUGGUAUGGACGAAUCAGGACUUGGACAGAACCUCCUCGGAGUUCUGGAUCUUCUUCUCAGACUUUCGGUAGAACAAUGACUCUUAAAAAUGCUCUAACUUCUUCAAAACAGCUCCAAAUCCUACACUUCCUUUUUCUACUUCACUUUCUCUCUCUAGCCCAAGUUUUAGAGUGAUGUUUGAGUGUGUGAAAUGAAUGAAACGAGCUGGGGGAGCUGGGUUUAUAUAGAUAUGGCCAACCAUUGAAAUGGUGCCACUCCAUCGCCUGUGUGUCGUCCCGCAUGCUUCCGGUCGCAUGCGCGGCGACACACGGGCGUCCAAAUAUCACCAUGCAUGACUCCUCUGCAUGCCAGAAGCCAGCACCACGUCCAGAUGUCAUUCAGCAUGGCUGGAGCUCAUGCAUCGCGACACACGGGCCUCUGGGUGUCAAGACGAUGCCAUGUCGUGCUUUGGGUGUCAUGCUGCAUGUGAGGCUUCAUCCUGCGGAGACAUGUCGUGCUACGAAGGCACUAAGAUGCUUGGAUGAAGGACAGCACGUCCUGAUCUCUCAGAUAGGGCCACCUCGAGCUUCCCGGUUGAUUUGUGCGAUUUCGAUCUUUUUGGUGAAUUUUCGUCCCGCGAUCAAUCCCGAAUAUUUUUCCGCUCCCGUUCUGAUUCUCUAAAUAUUUUUAAUAAACUCCAGAUGAAUACUGAGAUCCUCUAAAAAUAUUUCCCGAGCCUCCGGCUUCUUCCAAUAAUUUCGAAAAACCGAAAUUAGGGUUUUCGAACAACUUCGGGUUUUCCCGUCGUGCUUGCUUCCCGUCCUGCUUACUCCCGUCAUGCUUCCAAAUUAUAAUAUCUCUGAAAUAAUAUUCUGAUGAUAGAUGUGAAGUUUUGCGGAAAACUUAGUGGCUAAGAAACGUCGGGUUUCUGAAACGUCUAGCUUCUAAACCGUUGUGCUUCCAAAAAUGUGAUUCUUCCAAAAUCUUCGUCUGAUUAAUCUAAGAAUCUUCUAAGAAAGGUAGAGAAGCUUAAUAUGUCUCAUGGUUCAUUCACGAUCCAUUCUUCGACCACAUCCUACUUCGAACUUCUCGGUUGGCCCGUACCGCCCGCGGUUCGAUCAUCAAGUUGAUGCUCGACCAAUCUUCUGUCUUCUCCGAACCAUGUUAAGCUUUGUGUGAUCAAAAGUCAACAUUACUCCAAAUAUGUAAUCUCCCAAAAGCUUGGCUCCAGAUUCUGACUUUCCCUUGCUCGACCAUUUUAUCCCGAAGGGCGGGUUAUCACAGUGGGUGCCACCAAGUUCUGUUCACUUCUUUUUGACCUAUAUCCAAGAGUUCUUUGCGAAAGCUAGCUUUGAAGAUUGCCGCCUCCAAGUCCCAUUUCGAACUCUUUUAUUUGAGUCUUUAUGAAUCAAGCCUUAAUGGUUUUAGCCACCAAGUCAUGUUCAGACUCAUCCUAAUUAACAAUAGAUUAUAUAUAUAUAUAUAUAUAUAUAUAUUUUUUUUUUUAUAUACUCACUAACUAAUCUAGGGUCAAAAUUUAGAGAGAGAAAAUGUGAUAAAUAAUCUAAACCAGGCGUUACCUUCCAGACUUGUCUGAAAAAUCCGAUCCCAUGUAUACCAAGCCCCAAAACAAGCAGUGAAGUCAGGUUAGUGUUGAAGGUUAGCUUCGGUUCUUUCUAACAAGCUAGCAAGUGUGCAUAGUUGACUGGUUGAUCCACUUUAGCAUCUAUAGUAUUAUCUGCAGUCAGUAAAUCUAGAAUGGUGCUAGAAAGUGGUUAGACAUUCAAGUAGAAAUCAUUAGUUCAUAAUCCCCUUCUUGACUCAAUAAAAUUAUUUUUGAAAAGAUUUUUGACAAAAACUCAAGAAAAUGGUGUUAGUAACUACCUCCCCCAGACUUAAAAUGUACCGUCUCGGUGCAAAGCGUCCAAGGGUAGGUUAAAAUCAAGUUAGAUGUUUGAGAAUGUUAGAGUAAGAAUGAAGUACCUAUCCGUACUACACAUCGAUCGAUGUAAUCCUCUCCAUAUCGAUCGAUGUGACUCGCCCAGAAUCGAUCGAUGUAAUCCUCUCCAUAUCGAUCGAUGGCGAAGCACAAAAAUUUUCGCAUGUGCUUGGAGUCAAACUCGAAGUUCCUUGCCUAAUGUUAGCUCUGUUAGAAAAUCAAGCAUAAGAAAUAAUAAGCAUCCUCAAACAUAAAAUAUAGGUUUAAAAACAUAAAUCCUACAAGUUCGGAAAAUAAAUAAACAAGUUCAUAAUAAGAGGAGAAGAGAUAGAGAUGGGAGGACUAAUCGGUGUCCUCAUCAGUCGCCUCAUCGUCCUUUGGGGAUGGGUCCCUGCGUGCUGCUGGUGCUGGUGCCUGCGCUCAUGUGGCUCUCUUGCUCCGACAAGACACUCUAGCCCAGAUGGCCUGAAGAGCGUCCACCACGAACCUCUGAAAGUCUCCCUGGUCGUGCAUAGGGAUCUCUGGGAUGUUCGGGAAGUCAGGAAGAGGAGGUGCCUGUGCGUCCCGAGCUCUGGUACGGCGAAUGCUGGGAGGUCGGCGUGACAUGUUCCGCGGGUUGCGGAGGAAUGCAUCAUCUGGCAUGCAUCGAAGCUGCUCCACGUUGUUGCCGAAGUCAGUGAUCCUCCUAUCUGGUAGGGGUAGAAGGCGAUGCUCGUCGCGGAUCCUGAGGCACCAGAGCUUCCCUUCCUCGAGCCAUAGCCAGUGCAUCAAGUGCUGCUCGUCGAGGAAGGCGUGGUCGCGGUCGGCAGAGCGAGAGUCGAGGUGGAUGCCGAGAUACUGAAAAAUCGGGGUCAGAAGACUCCCAACUGUCUCCUUCUUGUUCUUGCCCUUGCUGGUGAAGGGCUUCUUCUUCAGCUCCACCAAAUGUGCGGCAAAGACAGCUCCGAGGUUUGGCGGGCUUACCUCGCCAUCCUCGUCCAACUCAACCAAAUCCACCACGCCGUUCACUGUGCAGAAAAGUAGUGUGAGCUCCUUUAUCCUGACCUUGUUGGGCUCCAUCUUGCAAACAAGUGUGUUUGCAAGAAGCCGUAGGAAGUAGCGAAGUGCAGGAUGGCGGAUGUCUGAUAGCACAGCCCUGUUCGUGUUCCAAACUCCUGUGCCGACGAUGUCCCAGAAUCACUCAAUGUGUGAGAAAGGUGGGACCGUGUAAGAGGCGAUGCUCUCAUCGAAACCGUAGAUGCGGCAGAGCUCGAAGAUAGUGAUUGUGACACCCCCGAUCGUAGAUGACCGGAAAUGACACGGUCGAUGUUCCUCGAUGGUCGAUCCGAGGUUCUCAGAAUACUUCCGAUGACCUUAGACUAACAACCAAAGAACACCAACGCUCCUAUCAGAUAUCACUCUAGGCUUUUCAACCCGAAAAAGCAAUACCCGAUAGUUAGUUCGUCCGGACAAGGACUAAUAUCAUAUGGAACCCGUACUUUAAAAACAUUCUUUAUAUAUCAUUUUGAAGCAUCUUUCAAAAUUUGUUAUAAAUUAACCUCGACGUUUUCGGUCUACAAAUCUUAUACAUAAGAUAUAUCAAAAUGACUUUGCAAGGAUAAUAAAACUACCGCUGGCUAAUGAUGUUCCUUCCCAUCCUAGAGUAAGGUCUCCCGUCUACUGGUUACCUGCAUCACGAAUGAGUCAUGAGUAACUAGUUUACUCAGUGAGCCUAGUCCCGCACCCCAACAUAUAUUAAUAAUAUCUAAAGCAAUCAACUUCAUUUGUAUGCAGUGGAAAUAUAUUCCAUAUCUGGAUAUUUAUAUAUAAGGAAUAUUCUUCCAUCAUUGUGAAUCUAAUCAUAUACCUCACUUCCUAUUCCCGUCUCUCAUAUCAUUCAUAUAAUCAUAUUUAUAUAUAUAUAUAUAUAUAUACCAGACCCGAGAAACCACAAAGGCUAAACGAGUCUAGCAAGUUAGCAUCACCAUCAUCGCCAUCAGAUAUUCAAAAAUUGAACAUCUAACGCUGCAUGCAGUUACACGGCCUCCAAGGUGCGACCCCAUCAUCGUGUCUUUGUGACCUUGUUCCAUAUCGCAGGACCAAUUCACGGUAAUCAUCAUUCAUACGGGAAUAUUUUGGAAGACAGGUUUAUAAUAAGACUUCACAUGAUUAAUACUUCCAUACUUAAUUAUAUUUAACACUAUACAUAUGUAUUAGUGCUUGAGAACAAGUACUAAGGUUUGGAAUAAACCUCUAUGAUCAUUCAUAAAUAUUUAAUAAGUGUUUACACUAAGUAAACACCUUACCAAUUCAAUAUUGAUCAAGAGACAAAGCCUAUCAAUCAUCUACAAUCAGUACGUUCAAUCAAGAAAUAUUCAUUCACUACUCAUCAAUCAUCUAUCUAGACUCACCUUUGAUUCUUUGAGAUUGGCUAAUCAAGACUAGACUCGAGCUCAAGCUAAUCACACUCCAUUUCCGGUACACUUGAGAUUCAAAACGGUCACAAUUAUCUGACUGAUCCGACCACUCUCCUUGAUAUCUGAAUUCAAACCAAGUGACUGAGCGGCUACAAGGAGUGACUGGACCGAUCUAGCAAAACUCUACAACCAACUAGACAGAAAACAGUUCUAUUUGAUGAACCAGCCUUAUCCUUGAACUUUACUCGACCACUGACCUGAAACAGAGCAGUUCAUAACAUGAUCUUCAAUCCAACAGUUCGGUUCUGAAGAAGAUAUUUAAAUCAGAUCCUAACAGCUCGGUUUACAACAAGGUUAAUCAGUUCAGCUUAGGUGUAGUCCAGACCAUGACCAGUUCAUUUCAGAUUAAAUCCAAUCAGUUUAUAAUAGAUGAGAUAAUUCUAUUCCAGCAAACUGAUUUAUUCUGAAAUAAAUAAAUCUGAACCGAAGACAGGUUAGACAAUUGAUCCAUGACAACCGCUUAACUAAAUAACAUCUGAUUCUGAUCAAGACAUGUCUGAGACAAGAGAUUGAAGCUUACAACAGCAACUGAUGACCAUAUGAACUCAGAUAAUCCUCCCCUUGAAACUGAACUCAUGGCUGGACUGUUUUAAAAGGAUAAAUCAGAAUUGGUUCAUCACAAAAACAGAACAAGACCUAGGGUUUACUUUGGGUACCUCACCUUCUGAUCUUCUACACAGCAGGGAACUGAGCUAGAGGAUGGAACAAAGUCAUCUAAGGUCGUGGCUAAUUUUCCCAUAUUUUUUGUUCUGAUUUUUCUCUCACUUUUUCUCUUCUUUCUCAUUGUUUUCUCUCUAAACAUUUCUCUUGUUAUGCUGCAGGUUAUGAACGUCCAGAGGAGAGAAGAAGGUGUUUUAAAGCAUAAGGAGUUACUUCAGAUGAGGGUUUACUCCCACACAAGGCAAAGCUGAGGCUAGACAGGUGGAGACAUGCUUCAGCACACCAAACAGAACAAGCAGCUGAACUUUUCCUUCCCAUGAAGAAAGCUACAAGCACCUGAAGCAAGUAGCUUGUGACCAGCAUGUGACUUCUAAUGAGCAAGCAGGCAAGCAAGUAGGUGCAGGUCAUGUGAACUAAUUACUGAGGAAGCAAGUAGGCUAGAAGGUGCAAGGCAUGUGACUGCUCAGAAAUAAUUUUCAGAGUUUUGUCGAUAUUUUUCAAACUGUUUUGACUAAAUAUUUUUCAUCAUUCGAACCUCGUCCUGCUCUGAAUAAACUCGUCCAGCAUGAAUAAAAAUCGACAAUAAUAAUUAACACUCGACCAGAACCAUCAAGAGAUGGUUUUUUGGCCAAAAGACAGCCCCGUCGAGAUUAAUUUACCGUGUCGAUUUUCAUUUAAAUUCUGAUCGAUCAAUCUUCAAACUGAUCUUAAAGAAUUUUCUCGACCAAAAUUAUAUCUGCUCGUGAGGGUUAUUACAGUGAUCAUGUAGCGUGUCCCUCUGGCGAAGAAGGUCAAAGUGCCAUCUCCCGCUACCCUCGCAGCUGUAGUCCUGUAGGUGACCUCGACAGUGGCCAUGAACUGGCGGACGAGAUCGGGGUAGAGGUCGUAAGCGUGAGAGGGCAUGGUACCGAGUCCUAGCUGUGUGAUCAUGUCCUUAACAUCUCUCUCGAUCCCGAGUUUCUUCAGGAUGGGUCGGUCAAGGAAUUUGGUGGGCUAGAUAGAGAUUCCUAGCCAGGCAUUGUAGAAGAGGCUGUCGUAGUCGUCCCAGUUAUCGGAUAGAGGAUGCUGACGGCACUCGUUGCUGUUGAUUGCUGCCUUAGGAUCAGCAUAGCCCGGAACAUCGAAUGGUGUGUUUUCUGGGCGAGGCCAUGGAUGACGCUGUGCGUUGGAGGAGCUGCUAGUCUCGUCGAACCUCCUUUUCGACCUGAGUUCCCUGUUCGUGUGUUUGUCUCUGAGCUGCUCAUCUGAAACCAAGAAGAAACGAAGGUUAUUAUUGUCGAUAAAAUGUAAUAUCGAUCGAUUGGUUAUACUGAACAUCGAUCGAUAUCGUCGUGUCGGAACAAUCAGACAAGAGAGCAUCGGUCGAUGCGAACAAGUUCAUAUCGACCGAUGUGGAAUCGCGAAACCUGCAAAAUCACUCAACUCCAAAUCGCGUUUAUACGAAUUUAAAUGCAUGGAAAUCACAAACCGAACUCUAUAUAAGCAAUAUGAACUACAAAAACAUCUCUUAAUCACACUAAAUCAAGCGUUCUAAUCCAACUCAAAACGAAACCCUAAUUUUUUCAAAAAUUGAAAAUUUCAAGUGCAUACCUUGAUUGUUGAUUUCGGGAGUGGAUUUAACAGUCACAGAGUGAAAAAUCGAGUGGAUUUAGGUGAAGAACGGACGAAAUCCGUCGAGCACGAGAGAGAAAAUAGGUGUUUUUGUUUUCGGUUUCGUUUGUGAGUGUGGAAGAGGAAGUGGGUUGAUAUCGAGUGAAGUUAGUUGAUAUACCUUGGAUUUGACCCAUUUUUAUCCAUGGUAUAUAAGUAUUUUACUAUAUAUAUAUCUAUGUUUUCUACUCUUCUAGGUAUGUUUUCAGGUUCAGGUGCAUUUUGGAGUAAAGCUAUGACUUUGGAGCAUUUUGGAGCUUUAAGGACAUUUCACCCGAGCUGACCACUUAGAGGUCGACGAGAGGAAGAAUAAUCGAUCGAUGCGCAUCAGUGCUGACGAUCGAUAUCAGGAAAUGCCUCGACAGAUGAAGAUUAAUAUCGAUCGAUGUACACAAGUACCAUCGAUCGAUGUCGAGACACCAGACGCGACAUUUUGGAUUCAGCAGACUUAAAAACCAAGGCCAAGCCAAAUUACCAAAAUGCCCUGACGAGUUUUUAACCUAUUAGAAUAUAUACUGCCUAAGUGUUUUGACGGCAGAGAACAGAGCUUUUUCUAGACCUAGUUUUGUUACAAGUUUCAUUUGGGAGAGAAGAUCGCUUUUGAUUGGAACUCCUUGUUUCUAUUUCUUUUAAUCUUAUUCUAUGAGUUUCUAUUUCUCUAUUGAUAUGAAUUGCUUUGCUAUGUCUGAGUAGUUCAACUGUUAGAUCCAGGGUUCAGAUAGGUUUGUGGGAUUAGCCCCAAACUAGAGAUCUGCCUUGUUGUGAUAUUCAUGAUAUAUUUGUAUUCAUUGCUUGUUUUAGCCUUGCUAACUAGAACUUGAUCAUAGGAUUGCAUAUUCAAGCACCAUUGUUAUCCCAUCCUGACAUCUAUCUAUCAUAUUAGGAUUGCUAGAGAGGGCUAACCGCCAAUUUAGAAUCUUAGUAGGGCAUUUCAUAAUCGCGCAUAGGCCUGGCUAGAACCCGUCGAUCGAUAUCCUCAACUGACAAUCGAUCGACGUUGGCAAAGGUGUAUCGGUCGACGUCUUAAUAGACUAUCGAUCGACACUCUCUCGUGUCUGCAUACUAACCGGUGAGACACGAGAUCUAGUCUGUUAACCAGUGGUACAUGCGACAGCUGAUCACUGAGUUAAGAGAAUGCGUUCUAAUAUAUCAUGCAUGCAACAGUUAGGCAUCUAUAGGUAUUAUAAUCUCCAACACCUGAAUAGUGGCCCUGCAUCUAUUACCAUUUCCAACUAAGUUACAUUUAUUAUUUACUCGCUUGUUACUAUUGCUAUUUCAUUUAAUCAUUUACAACCUUUAGAAUUAAUAAACACUAGAUUUAAUUGUUUCCUAGCUCCUUGUGGAUUCGAUCCCUAAGUACUACAUCUGAACCUCUUUUGAUGAGAGUAACACUCCUUAGGGUAAUUUGAGUGGUAUCAAAUUUGGCGCCGUUGCCGGGGAGCUUUGAUAGCCAUUAGAUUUAGAAUUAUUAAUUCUUAUUCUUUUCUUUACCCCCUUUCUAAUAAUAUUUUUCUUGUCUUUUCAGGUGCAUGCCCAACGGUACCAGAAGCAACAAGGAGAAAGACUUGUUGUUCUCAGACGAUCCUGCUCAUUUCGAACGCACCAUCCGUAGAGGUCAACGUUCCACAUCGCUCGACGCAACCACUUCGUCGUCGAUCGAUACGCACAACCAACCGUCGACCGACACCAGACCGUCAUCGUCGAUCGAUACCAAUCGUUCGACAACGAUCGAUACUACACUGCGUACGUCGAUCGAUACCGUAUCGUCAAAAAUGGUAAACAUUAUUAUUCUAACUCGAGACGAGAACGGAAACCUGUAUGACCAGGCCGAUCAUCUGUGUAAUGCAACAGGUCAGAAAAUAGAUGCUCAGGGAACUGUAAUCCCUGAUGCUGAUGCUAAAGGAGCUGCUCAACCUGUAGAUGAGGACGCUCGAUCUAAACCACUGGCCGACUACAAUCGCCCAGAUGAGUACUAUUCCAACAGAUCGGCUAUUCGACUUCCGGAGAUCCAGAAGCAGAAUCUCGAGCUGAAGCCUCAAUACUACACUCUCGUGUCGCAGAUACCCUACUCUGGGUUACCGCACGAGCAUCCUAUGGACCAUCUGGAACGGUUCGAGGAUCUAAUCGCUGCUAUUCGGUUGGAAGGAGUCCCCGAAGAUUACGUGCUGUGCAAGCUCUUCAGAUACACGCUGAAUGGAGAAGCGAUGCACUGGCUUAGGCAGCAACCCACAUGAUCAUUAACAUCCUGGAGCGACAACAAGAAUGCUUUCUUACGAAACUUCUUCGAUGAGGUGCGUGCUGAAGAACUUCAGAACAAAAUUUCCACAUUCUCGCAGAAGGCUGGAAAGUCUUUCAAAGAUGCGUGGAUUAGAUUUAGGUUCUUCCAGCGAGACUGUCCACACCACGGAUUUAACGAAGUGUAGCUGCUAAGCACUUUCUUCCGAGGUCUCGCCUUACAGUAUCAAAUGGCCCUUGAUACGGCGAGUGAAGGAAACUUUACUACUCGGAAUCCGUUGGAAGCUGUGAGACUUAUCGAAAACCUUGCUAACAGCAGCAGCACCAAAAACACUGACUCUGAACGGAAGAAGUCUGUAGCCUCUAUCGGGAAGGAACAGAUGGACGAAGUAAGAGCUAAGUUAGAUGUGGUGCACGAGCUUCUUAGGAAGCAAGUCUGUUCAGCUGAAGGAGAAGUUGCAGAUACGGAAGGAGAAGAAGAUGUGAACUACAUCGGAGGUACCGGAUUCCAGAAAUUUGGAAACCAGGGCGGAAACAGAAACUUCUUUGGAAAUGGCCAAAGAAGUAACCAAAUUUCACAAUUUCAAAAAACCUUCAAUAACAGCAAGAGCUACUCGAACUCUUACUACCAAAAUCCACCACCCCAGACUCAGUAAAGCAAGAUCGAAGAGAUGCUUGAUCGAGUACUGUUGAGACAACAACAAAUCACUGUGGAUUUCAAGGGUAAGAUAGACUCCGCCUACAACAAUCUGAACACCAAAAUCGAGACCUUAGGGACUCAGGUGAGAAAACUUGAAACCCAAGUAAUUCAGACGGGCGAGACUACAAAGAGGCAAGAAGCUUUCGCUAGAGAGGCAGGAGCCGACAAAGGAAAACACCACGCAAAUGCCAUCAUAGAUGAUGAUUUCUGGCAAAUGGUGAGAAAUGAAAAGCUUGAGGAAGGAGAUUUCGAAAUCGAAAGCUCCAUGAGUCUCAGCGGAUCCCAAUGGUGUCGACCGAUAUCGAUGAACUCGCAUCGAUCGACAGACCAUGAUGAAGAUUGAUGGAUGGAUUACUCCAGUCAUCGAUCGAUGUCGUCUGCCGAAUCGACUGAAUGCAAUGCGGUUCGAAUUCUAACUCAUGAAGAAUUUGCAGCUACGCAUCCUCACCCACUCUCCCCUUUCUAUGACAAAAUCGAUCGAUCGAUUGAGCCAGCCAUCGAUCGACAGAGUGAGUCUGACGUCGAUCGUCACAAUACACCUCCCAUCGAUCCACAUGCACCUCUGACAUACCGAGUGCGGUUACCCUCAAUCGAUAAUGAUUACAUCAACGCACUCAGACCACCACCUAAACCAUUAGCAAACCCACCCGAACCAAAACCCAACCCUUUAAAUAGUUCACCAGAAUCAGUUCAAGAAGAACAAGAAUCUGAAGGGAGAAGGUUAAGGAAAAGAAAGGAGAAGAUUCCUAAAAACCUUAAGAGGGAAGCUAACGAUAAGGAGAUGGAUGGUUUCACUAAACGAGUCCUCAGAUCCCAAUCGAAAAACCUUUUGAUGAAGCUUACUUCACACACCGGUUGUGGAUGUUCUUCAGAGAAACAAAGGUAACUGAGGAGGACAUUAGGAGAAUGUUUCAUCAAGUCAGAGAGAAGAUGAAACACAGGAUCACAUUGACGAAGAAGAGUGAUCCUGGGAAGUUUGCAAUACCAUGCGUAGUCAAGGGUGUUGAAUUUCCCCAUUCAAUGUGUGACACAGGAGCAUCAGUUAGUAUCCUCCCUAGGAUCAUGGCAGACCAGCUUGGUUUGACCAUCGAACCCUCAACGGAAUCCUUCACCUUCGUGGAUCUUUCAGAGAAACGAUCAGGAGGUAUCAUAAGAGAUCUGGAGGUACAGAUUGGUAAUGCCCUUGUCCCUGUAGAUUUUCAUGUCUUAGACAUCGAGCUUAACUGGAACUCUUCACUUCUGCUUGGAAGAUCUUUCCUAGCUACAGUAGAAGCUGUAUGUGACAUGAACAAAAACAAAUUGUGUCUAACGCUCAUAGACCCAAACAUCCACUACGACCCCAUCCGACCUAAGAGAAAGUUCAUUAAUUCUGUGGAUUAUGGGAAAGAACUUGGCUUCAUUGGUGCAUGCCAUUGUGGAGAAGAGUAUCAAUCGGAGUACGAAACAGAGUACUCGGAAUCGAUUGAUAUCCCAACCUUUCCAUCGAUCGAUUCCAAUGUGUCAACGGUGACCGAUGACCGCAACAACACGUCACUCGAUGUAAUGCAACCAGUUGACCAUUUCGCUUCACCCAAUCAUUGUUACCAACAUUUUGCCUUCCAACCUCCAAGCAAGAGAGGACAUGAUGAUUAUUCCAUAGGCAGUUUGGCAGACAGUGGUUUCCAUGAAAGUUUUGCAGUUGACACUGUAAUUACUUCACCUAAUGAGGAACAUACCGAGGAAUACGAUGAGGAUUAUUGGAAAGAACGUGCAAUAGAAAUGUCUUUGCAGGAUGAAAAACUUGAAACACAUAAGUUCACCAACACGUUUUUAACAUCGUUCGACGCUGUGCACUCCACAUCGGUCGAUAUCCACCCUCGUCCAGCAAAACAACCGCUCACAUCGAUCGACACCCACACUGGAACAUCGAUCGAUAUUCGCGCCGCAGCGAAAAUUCAGGAGCAGGAGAAUAUUCCCUCCCCAACUAGUUUUAUAGAUACCUAUAUAAAUCGUUUUGCACCUCCGAAACCACCUACACACAUCAGAGCAAACACACAAGCAAAAAAGAUGAACACUCUUCCUUCUACAUCAACAGAAAAAUCCAUGAAGAGCAAUCAUCUCAAGAACACAAGUUCUGCAGAAAUUACUCUGCCAUCGAUCGAUGUAACUGUAUCUACAUCGAUCGAUACUACUCUAAACCCUAAUCUUUCUAUUUCUAAAUUGAAUGAUUAUGCAAACAUUGAUUACGGUUUUCUAACACCUGAUGAAUUUGGUAUUUUCAGGGACCCAGAUGGCAACGCACGUGCAAUGGAUGGAAGGAUUUUACAAGUGUCCAGAGAGGACAUAGCAGACAUCCUUCAAGUAGCCAAUGGACCUGACAACCUAUUCUCACAGCAACGUGGCACUCCAGACGUCAUUCAAACAGAUCCUAACAACCACGCAGGAGUCGCCACAACAGAGAUCAACCCAGAUCUAUCACGCCUACCAAAAGGGCAAGCAUCGAUCGACGGUACAACGGAGAAAUCGAUCGACAGGGUAACACCAACGUCGAUCGAUAUAUAGAUGAACCGACGUCGAUCGAUAUAGAUGAACCGACGUCGAUCGACAGACGGUAUGAAUGUGGGAACCGCGCUUUCGACAUGUACGGAGCCAGAAAGUUCACUUGGGAACAAAGGGACGAGUAUGGAGUCUACAGAGAUGAGCGUGGACACGCACGAAGCGUAGCUGGUGAGAUGAUACCUGUCACAGAGGACAACAUCAGGAAAAUACUGGAAAGAGCAUCUCUUUUUGAAGAAAGCCACAUCUGUCUUCCAGAACAUGCCACUUCCUUCACACUCACAAGACUGGCACCAGAACUCUACACCAAAGAUGAAAUCGAUGAGAUGGUGUUUGGUAUUUGUGGAGCUCAGGAGAAACUGGGAGAGGAGCUCAAAACAUUGGUAGAAGAUACACAUCAGCCUUUGGAUAGAGGCUACAACGAGCUUUUCAGAUGUAUGGCAGAAAUGAGGACAGAAAUUGAGAGUUUACGUCAGCAACUUGAGAAGGAAGCUACGACCUCAGCAUCGAUCGACGCACCACAUGCAACAUCGAUCGACGUCAGUCUUCCUACAGCUCAGAUCCCUGCAGAACCGCAAUGUUCAACACAACACAGGGAUGAAUGCGAAGUAUCAUACAUCGACACGAGGAUAAACGACGUUUACUGCCCUCUCAACAACAACGUGGACGGGCUAAGCACUAAAAUCGAGCUACUACAGCAAGAUCUGGACACCAUUCGCAAGAAGGACAAACAACCAGCCACAUCGAUCGACAUGUGUACCUUCACAUCGCUCGACGCCAAAGUCUCAGCCAUGAAUGAGAGGCUGAGGACUUACGAGGAUAUGCAUGACCGCUUUAUAUCACCAGUCAUGAUAGAUUUAAACAAAUUGUCUAGUCAAUUACUUCAUGCCCAAAAGGAUAUUGAGAACAUUACUAAUCAAAGUUUUUUGCAGGCAAAAUCAGCAUCGAUCGACAGGCUACGAGGGCCUUGGAUCGAUGGCAAGAAACAUGUGGAGUUACUUCCUUACACAGCAACAGAGGUUGACAAGAUCACAUCCAAGAUCUACACUUCUCUAGAUACUAUGGAGGAACGACUUGACAAACGCUGCGAUGACAUCUACUUUCCAUUCGACAACAAAAUCAGUGGAUUAGACAACCACGCAGAAUGGUUACAGAAAGAAGUCAAAGCCAUUCAGAGGCAACUCGCAGCUCAACACCAGAUAUCAGCAUCGAUCGACAGGACAUUAGCGAAAUCGAUCGAUGGCAACUCGCCGAGAUCGACCAACGAACACAUAAUCGCAUCGAUUGACGCCGAGUCUACACUAAUCGUCGAACAGCUGAUAAACAAGACGGUAGAGUCCAUGCUAAAGGAACUGACAGAUCUUUCAGCAUACGCCUAUGACAACAUAGGCUGGCACCAGGUCAGCAUUGACAACGUUCAAGAAAGGCUACAGAACAUCUCCAAAGUACUUGAGAAGAUGGAUGACAAAUGGACAAGAAAUGAUGAGGCCACAAGAAUUUUCAUUGCAACUUGGUCCAGAAUGCGCAGAGAUGACGUGGAUGCUUGCUUUCCAACAAGCAGCUGCUUCUCCACCCAAUAGACAAUCACUACCACAGUCAAGCUAAAUGACUAUAACCAAGCGCUGAGUGGGAGGCAACCCACUAUUAGGUAUUUUACUUUGGUUUUAUUUAGCUAGCAUUUAAUUUCUUUCGUUUUAUUUCUUUCAGAUUUAGGAGACCCAAGUAGGAGGACCUGAAUAUCGACCGACGACGAGACGUCGACAUCGUUCGAUAUAGGCAACCACAAGACGAUCGAUGUAACACUUACACAUCGAUCGAUAUCUAAUCCGGUCAGAAGUAUCUUCCCUACUUGUUACAUUUCGUACAUCAUGAACUAUUCAUCAUAACUCCGGCUGAGUUACACUGGGACAGUGUAAUUUAAGUCUGGGGGAGAUUUACUGAUAUAAUUUAUUUUAUUCUUAUGUAAAAAGGAAUUUCAAAUAAAUUAUGCUUAGCUAUUGAAAAUAGGGACUAUAAUCUUAUAUUGAUUUAAACAUGAAUAUCUAACCAAUCUUUAGCACCAUUUUAGAUUUACUGAUUGCAGAUAGCACUAAAGAUGCUAAAGCGGAUCAACCUAUCAACUACACACUUGCCUUGAACCGUAUGAAGUAACCAAAGCUGAUUUCCAACACUAAACCUGACAUAACCGCUUGUCUUGGGGCUUGGUAUACAUGGGAUCGGAUUCUUCAGACAGGUCUGGAAGGUAACGCCUGGUUUAGAUUAUUUAUCACAUUUUCUCUCUCUAAAUUUUGACCCUAGAUUAGUUAGUGAGUAUCUAUAAAAAAAAAAAGAUCUAUUGUUUAAUUAGGAUGAGUCUGAACAGAACUUGGUGGCUAAAACCAUUAAGGCUUGAUUCAUAAAGACUCAAAUAAAAGAGUUCGAAACGGGACUUGGAGGCGACAAUCUUCAAGGCUCGCUUUCGCAAAGAACUCUUGGAUAUAGGUCAAAAAGAAGUGAACAGAACUUGGUGGCAACCACCAUUAAGUUUUGAUUCAUGAAAGCCUGUCCAAUCUUGGUCACUGAUCCUGCAAUGGAACCAGACUUUGACUCAAGAGAGAAAUUUAGAGAGAGAGAAACUAGGAACUAACUUUUACCUGCAGCUCCAGAUACCUGUCUGAAAUCCUUGCAUCCUGUGAUCGAUACUCCCAAGGUAAAGCAUUCACUUUAUAUUUAUGCUAAGAAAUGAAAUCAGUAGAGGGGAUGUCAGACGUGAAAUGAUGAGUUGUGUUAUGUUAGAAAUGGUUGCUAAGCUAGGAUAUUGCAUAGUGUGCUUUUGUGAUUAGGACUUUUUAAAUGUGGUUGCAAAAUUGUUGAGGAAAGAUUUCUAUGUUUUAAAAUCUUAAAGUUCCCAAAUAUUUUCAAACCUCUUUCAGAGAGACUGCAUGUAUGUUUUCCUUGAGGACAAGCAAAAGGGUAAGUCUGGGGGAGUUGAUAUACCUUGGAUUUGACCCAUUUUUAUCCAUGGUAUAUAAGUAUUUUACUAUAUAUAUAUCUAUGUUUUCUACUCUUCUAGGUAUGUUUUCAGGUUCAGGUGCAUUUCGGAGUAAAGCUAUGACUUUGGAGCAUUUUGGAGCUUAAAGGACAUUUCACCCUAGCUGACCACUUAGAGGUCGACGAGAGGAAGAAUAAUCGAUCGAUGCGCAUCAGUGCUGACGAUCGAUAUCAGGAAAUGCCUCGACAGAUGAAGAUUAAUAUCGAUCGAUGUACACAAGUACCAUCGAUCGAUGUCGAGACACCAGACGCGACAUUUUGGAUUCAGCAGACUUAAAAACCAAGGCCAAGCCAAUUACCAAAAUGCCCUGACGAGUUUUUACCUAGUAGAAUAUAUACUGCCUAAGUGUUUUGACGGCAGAGAACAGAGCUUUUUUUAGACCUAGUUUUGUUACAAGUUUCAUUUGGGAGAGAAGAUCACUUGUGAUUGCAACUCUUUGUUUCUAUUUAUUUUCAUCUAUUCUAUAAGUUUCUAUUUCUCUAUUGAUAUGAAUUGCUUUGCUAUGUCUGAGUAGUUCAACUGUUAGAUCCAGGGUUCAGAUAGGUUUGUGGGAUUAGCCCCAGACUAUAGAUCUGCCUUGUUGUGAUAUUCAUGAUAGAUUUGUAUUCAUUGCUUGUUUUAGCCUUGCUAACUAGAACUUGAUCAUAGGAUUGCAUAUUCAAGCACCCUUGUUAUCCCAUCCUGACAUCUAUCUAUCAUAUUAGGAUUGCUAGAGAGGGCUAACCGCCAAUUUAGAAUCUUAGUAGGGCAUUUCAUAAUCGCGCAUAGGCCUGGCUAGAACCCGUCGAUUGAUGUCCUCAACUGACAAUCGAUCGACGUUGGCAAAGGUGUAUCGGUCGACGUCUAAAUAGACUAUCGAUCGACACUCUCUCGUGUCUGCAUACUAACCGGUGAGACACGAGAUCUAGUCUGUUAACCAGUGGUACAUGCGACAGCUGAUCACUAAGUUAAGCGAUUGAGUUCUAAUAUAUCAUGCAUGCAACAGUUAGGCAUCUAUAGGUAUUAUAAUCUCCAGCACCUGAAUAGUGGCCCUGCAUCUAAUACCAUUUCCAACUAAGUUACAUUUAUUAUUUACUCGCUUGUUACUAUUGCUAUUUCAUUUAAACAUUUACAACCUUUAGAAUUAAUAAACACUAGAUUUAAUUGUUCCCUAGCUCCUUGUGGAUUCGAUCCCUAAGUACUACAUCUGAACCUCUUUUGAUGAGAGUAGCACUCCUUAGGGUAAUUUGAGUGGUAUCAUUAGUGUUAAAACCGUCGAGAUGCCCGCAUCGAUCGAUGGCAGUAAUGCCUCGUUGAUCGAUGUCCUCUUUAAAGACAAAUUAUAAUUUCUAAAUUUUCUAAAUAAUGGUAAUAUACGGAAAUUACUAUUAAUUACUAGUAAUAUAAUUUAUUAAUUUUAAUUAAUGAUUUUUGAAAUUAAAUUAUUAUUAUUUUAUUAUUAUUAUUAUUAUUAUUUAUUUUUUUUUUUAUAAAAAUGGGUUGCCUCCCAUUCAGCACUUAAUUUUUAAGUCUUUAGCUCGACUUCCUGAUUAAACUAAUUAUCAGGUUCAUACAGCACCAUGGGCACUUUCGCUGGUAGUUUUGUCCAAUAAUGCUUAACUCGUUGGCCAUUCACCGUAAAUUCCUGGCCUUUCUCAUUUUGUAAGGUGAUAGCUCCGGAGGGUUGAACGUUCUUUACGGUGAAGGGUCCAGACCAACAUGAUUUUAGCUUUCCAGGAAAUAAAGUCAAUCGAGAGUUAUAAAGGAGGACUUGAUCAUCUGGCUCGAAGUGCCGGGAUAUGAUCUUUCUAUCGUGAUAAGCUUUAGUCCUUUCUUUAUAGAUUUUUGAAUUUUCGAAAGCUAAAUGUCUGAUUUCAUCAAGCUCGUUAAGCUGGAUGAGUCUCCUUUCUGCAGCUGGUUUGAUAUCAAAGUUCAAAAGUUUGGUAGUCCAACCUGCUUUAUGUUCCAGUUCGACUGGUAGAUGACAUGAUUUGCCAUAAAGGAGGUGGAAUGGUGUUGUUCCUAACGGUGUUUUGUAGGCGGUCCUUGAUAUACCAUGAUUUUCACCCGCUUUUAUACAUGGUAUAUAAGGGUUUUAAGAUGUAUUAAUCAUGUUUUAGAGUCUUUUCAAAGCAAAUACAGGUUUAUUCACCUGAUGGAAGGAAAUGAUACUUUUGGGACAUUUUGGAAUGCUUUUACGCAAGGAAAAUCGAUCGACGCUUGAAGAGCAACAUCGGUCGAUCUUAAUCACUUACUAUUGAUCGACAUACAUUCUCGUGCAUCGAUCGAUACGCAGUCACACAGAUGAAAUCGCAAACUAAAAGAUUUCAUUUCCAAGAAGAUCUAUUAUUUACAACUUAAGUCCCUGGCCGCCUUUUAGGCUAUAUGUACUAGGGUUUUGUAUCAUUUCUAGGCAGACACUUGCAAAAGACCUAGUUUGGAAAAGGAGCAUUUUGGCUACCAUUAGGAGAGCUUAGGAUUGGAGAGAUAGAUCUGAGACUGCAAAACAGAGAAGAUCUUGAACUCAUUUAUUUCUAUUACUCUAUCUAUUUGUGUUCUAUGUUUCAUUUGAGUUUAUUUCACACCAUUAUGACUUUGUCUCUCAUGAAUAUGUCUGAGUAAACCAAUUGUUUGAUUUAGGUUUCUCACCAUGGUUGAAAUUAUGUCUGUUAAAAAGGUGUUUUGAUUGUUUUUUCAUUGCUUAUGAACUUAAUGCUAAAAUUGAGAUUGAUCACCUUCAUUUUGGAUCUUAGGUUUAAUUGAGUUCAACUAACCGUUUCCCCUCAAUACCUGAACCCAUUUGCGUGAUCUAACUGACUCAGGCGCAACGACAGUUGGUCUGAGAAGGUUAGAGAACAAGUUAAACCCGUUCGCAAAGCUCGCUAGAAUAACCGUCGAUCGACGCAACUAUCGUUCUGUCGAUCGACGCAACUAUCGUUCUGUCGAUCGAUUGUUAUAAAGUUGUAUCGGUCGAUGUACGUCAAGUCGCAUCGAUCGACACUCUCUCGAGAUCAAAAUACGACAGUUGAGAUCCGAGAUCUAGUGAAGAUAACCUAUCCGGUUAAAUCAACGUUUAGUUCAAGAACCAUUGAACCCUUUAGUCUAAACUAAAUGCAUACAUUUUAUACCUGAGAAUUACCUGAAUCUAGCUACUUUCCCAAUCUUGAAACCACUUCAAUUUAAUCUAUUGAAUCACUGUUGUUUUCGAUUUAUCAUUUAUUGCUUUUAAAACUAUUAAAACCUUUUAGUCUAUAUUCAUUUCUAAGUAUUUAAGUCUGUUGAGUAAUCCUAGAGUCUCUGUGGAUUCGAUCCCUAAGUACUACAUCUGAACCUCUUUUGAUGAGAGUAACACUCUUUAGGGUAAUUUGAGUGAUAUCAAAUUUGGCGCCGUUGCCGGGGACUCUUUCUUAUUACCAUUAGAUUUAAUUUAGAAUUUUGUAUAGACUUGUUACGAAAAUCUUGCUAAAGUUUUCUUUCUUAAUCUGUUAAUCAGACACAAAGAAUGGAGAACAUAGAGCGCGACCAACCAUCGAUCGACGGAAAUACGUUUCCAUCGAGCGACGAUGAGUCAGAGGAAUCGACCGAUACGGAGUCACCAACAUCGAUCGAUACCGCCCAGCCGGAAGCAGGUAAGUAUUCUCUUACCAAGCCCGCUAAUGAGAAAGUAGUCCAAACUGAACUAAAUGGCCAAACGAGCAAUGAAACUAGCCAAACUAAACAGGGGACUGAAAUCCCUGUUAAGGAAAAUUCCACCUUAACUAAAGGUGAAGAUAUAAAAUUGUCCAUACAAGACUACCUUGAUCCUGGUAGGACCUAUUCCAAUAGGUCCGCUAUUAAAAUACCAGGAGACGAUACCAAGAAAUCUAAGUUUAACGCAGAUUACUACCGUAUGGUUCGUCAAAACCCAUUCCGUGGAUCCCUCCCAGAACACCCACAAGAUCAUAUUGAGACUUUGGAAGAAUUAAUACUAGAUGAAUAUGAUCGUUGCAAACUAUUCUCAUUCUCCCUAGAAGGAGAAGUCCUCAGGUGGUUGAACUGUUUAGCAACAGGAUCACUCACUUGUUGGGAAGAGAUUAGAAGAGCUUUCCUUAGAGAUUUUUUCACUGACGAACGCUACUGGGAAGUAAGAAAACAAAUUUCUACAUUUCGCCAAGGUCCACGCGAAUCAUUUAAAAAUGCUUGGGGAAGAUUCAGAGGCUAUGAACUUGAAUGUCCCCAUCAUGGUUAUUCAGAACCACAACUUCUUAACAUCUUUUAUGGAGGUGUUAAUUUGAGCUAUAAAACCACACUCGAUACAGCGAGUGAUGGAAAUUUCUUCACUAGGAAUCCCGAAGGAGCUAGACGCCUUAUCAAGAAUAUGACAACGGGAAGAUCCUAUGAGAAAAUGGAUGAAGAAAUAGAAAAACUACAAAUCCAAAAGACAAUUCUGAUUUAUUAGAAAUUAAGAAUUCCCUUAAAUCCCUUCAUUCCUUUCUUCAAAACAAACACCGAUCUGAUAUAGUCCAGAUCGACGAAAACGCUUUGUCUGACACCGAUGAUUAUUCGGAUGAAGAAACGAACUGCUCUGAUCCUUACUAUGUGUUUCAUGUCGAGAGCUUUACCCAAGCUUAUGACACUGCUCUAAAAUCACGUACCAGAAGAUAAAGGUUCAAUAUCAGACAAGCUCUUACUGGCAACCAUAAGACAAAAUCGGAGUUUUACGGAAAGAUAAAUAUGGUUUACAGAGAAUUGAUGGAAAAAGCAGAUUCUUUAGGAGAACUAAUCCGAAAAUUAGAAGGUCAAGUAGCUGAGAUAGCAACUGCAAUAAAGAGAGAUGCUGGAUGUCUUCCCGGAAGGACUGAUCUAAACCUAAGACGUCAAGUCAGUGCCGUAAUGCUGCGCAGCGAGAAAAACCUCGCAGCAGACACGAGGAAUAAUUCAGAUGUUGGAAAACCUGACGAUGCCGAUGAAACCGGGAAAAGCAACUCUCAUCCUGUUUUUCUUGACGAACUAGACCCAAAUCCAUCUCAAGACAACCGGAAAACCACCACUGAAAAAGCUAAGGAAAAGGCAAUAGACUUAGAACUAGAAGAAGAUACGGAGAUUGAGGAUGAGAUCGAUCGACAGUACGGAACUGACGUCGAUCGACCCAAAACACCCACCAUCGAUCAACAACCGGAGAAACCCAUCGAUCGACGGUUUACUCAACCCAAACCCAUAAUUGAAAGAGUCUAUAGAACUUUACCCCUUUUUCCCCCUAAAACGCAAACUAAGAAAUCAUUAGAGAACGCAAUCUGCAAGAAAGCCUUAGAUAGGAUUUCUGUCGAGAUGUCUCUUAGUGAUGCUAUAAAAAUAGCACCUUCAAUUAAGAAGCAUAUAAAAGAUAUGACAUCUCCAAACUAUCCAAUCGCAGAACACAGCGUGAUGAUGAUUUCAGAAGAAGUAAGUGCUAUGAUUAAAGGAGAAACUCCAACAAAGAGAUCCGAUCAUGGUAGUUUCGUCCUAGAUUGUAAAAUAGAAAACACGCAUUUCCCUAGAUCACUAUGUGACCUCAGCUCUAGCGUGAACCUUAUGCCUUACUCUGUUGCUGUGACGUUAGGAUACAGAGAGUUUAUGCCAACUCCGAUCACCCUGGUUUUAGCUGAUAGAUCUAUUAGGGUACCCGAAGGAAUUCUCGAAGAUGUUCCCAUAAAGAUUAACGAUUGCAUCGUGCCUACGGAUUUUGCUGUGUUGAAAUACAGACAAGAACCCAAAGACCCCCUCAUUCUGGGUCGGCCAUUCCUAGCUACAGAUGGAGCGAUCAUUGACGUCAAGGAAGGAUGAAUUAAUUUGAACAUAGGAGAUAUCUCGAUGACUUUUGAUAUGGAAAAACUGAUUAAGCGACUUCUAAUAGAUGACUAGUCCUUCUACGUGGAAAAGGUUUCUGAGGAUGAAAGAGACUCUUUCAUAAACAUGUGUUCAGACAACCCCUUAGAAGACACCCUUAACCACGUGGAAAAUGAAGUGUUCAACAUAUCAGAUAGGACGGACGAUUACAUGCAACUAAUGGACGCUAGCAUCGACGUUGCAAACAUAGAAGAAAAUGACGAUUCCGAAGUUGUCAUCGAUCGAUACCUUCAAGAUACCGUCGAUCGACAACCUCCUUCACAUGAUGCAGCUCGUUUGGUCCAGUUUAUUGACAAGACAAUCAGGCUUAAGCUCCUGUCUGUUAAAGGAACAGGGCACAAACAUUUUGAAGAGAGUUUGAUGGUCUCUAGAUGAGACUGGUAGUUUGAAUCAAGUCCCAUUGAUUAUUUGUACAAAAAAUAAAGAAGUAGCACUUGAUGUAGUACAGUUUGAUUGAAUAAAAUUUUACAUUCAUUCAAAAAAAAAAAAGAUAAAGCACCAAAGGUAGAAUUAAAACCCCUGCCCAGCGGUCUUAAGUACGCUUACCUUUAUGACCAAUCCUACCCUGUUAUCGUCAACGCCAAUCUCACUAGCGGAGAACUUGCUUUAUUGCUGAAUAAAUUACGCAAGUACAGGAAAGCAAUCGGGUAUUCUCUCGAUGACAUUCCUGAAUUUCUCCUGAUCUUUGCAUGCAUCGGAUCAACUUGGAAGAUGACGCUAAAACGUCAAUAGAACAGCAAAGGAGAUUGAAUCCGAAUCUGAAAGAAGUAGUUAAGAAGGAAAUUAUAAAACUCCUUGAUGCUGGAGUUAUUUACCCCAUUUCGGAUAGCAAAUGGGUAAGCCCCGUACAUGUUGUACCCAAAAAGGGAGGUAUCACUGUAGUGAAGAAUGAAAAAGACGAACUCAUUCCGACUCGUCCAUUACUGGUCAUCGGAUGUGCAUUGAUUAUAGGAAACUGAAUGCCGCUACUAGGAAAGACCAUUUUCCCCUUCCCUUUAUUGAUCAGAUGCUGGAGAGAUUAGCUAAUCACCAGUAUUACUGUUUUCUUGAUGGAUAUUCCGGAUUUUUCCAAAUUCCUAUACACCCGGAUGAUCAAGAAAAUACAACGUUGACAUGCCCCUAUGGAACUUUUGCAUAUCGCAGAAUGCCAUUUGGUCUAUGUAACGCCCCCGCUACUUUCCAACGAUGUAUGAUGUCAAUCUUUACAGAUAUGAUCGAGGACUUCAUGGAAGUAUUCAUGGAUGUUUUUUCAGUCUAUGGAUCAGAUUUUAAGAGUUGCCUCGACAAUUUAUGCAAGGUAUUGGAAAGAUGCGAAGAAAAGAACCUUGUCCUAAACUGGGAAAAAUGCCAUUUCAUGGUAAACGAUGGAAUAGUAUUAGGACAUAGAGUUUCCGCUGCUGGAAUAGAGGUCGAUAGAGCUAAGAUUGAAGUAAUGACCAGUUUACCUCCACCUAAAACUGUUAAGGACGUACGAAGUUUUCUCGGACACGCCGGAUUUUACAGAAGAUUUAUACUGGACUUCAGCAAAAUCGCUAGACCUCUAAAUCACUUACUGCGCAAGGAUAUUAAAUUCGAUUUUACCCUUGAAUGCAUGAGAGCUUUUGAAGAUUUAAAGAAAUCCCUUAUCACUGCCCCUGUCCUACAAGCCCCCUACUGGAAUCUUCCUUUCGAAAUCAUGUGCGAUGCGAGUGAUUUCGCAAUUGGAGCAGUUCUAGGCCAAAGGAAAGAUAAAAAGCUACAUGCUAUUUACUACGCCAGCCGCACGCUUGAUGAAGCACAACGGAAUUAUGCAACAACAGAAAAAGAACUAUUAGCUGUAGUUUACGCUUUUGAAAAAUUCCGUCAAUACUUGAUUGGCUCACGUGUAAUAGUUCACACUGAUCACGCUGCCAUCAAAUAUUUAAUGCAAAGGAAAGAUGCUAAACCUCGACUCAUACGCUGGAUUCUACUAUUCCAAGAGUUUGACAUUGAGAUUAAGGAUAAGAGAGGAGUAGAUAAUGGAGUCGCUGACAAUCUUUCACGGAUACAGAUAGAGGAUGAUAUCCCUAUAGACGAUUUCUUUCCCACAGAGAAUGUUGCACACAUAGAUACAUCCUUCGUCGGUCAAGUAUCUCUCACAUCUGAAGAUGAAUCGAUCGAUGAGGGAGAUGUCAUAUCGGUCGAUUCACGUAGUUCUACAUCGAUCGAUGACGAGACUGAUGUAAUUUCUCACCUCUCAGAUAACCAAAAUCACGAACCCCCGUUUAUUAAGAUCAACUUUGGUUUACAAGUAAAUGUUUCCGGUGAUGAGAUUAAUCUCACACCUAAGGAAUUAUCACAACGGGAGGUAAAUGUGAUUGGUAGAAACUCGGAUAACCGACCCUGGCAUGCCGACAUAGUUAACUAUUUGGCAGCUGAGGUUGAACCAGACGAACUCAAGGGAUAUAUGAGGAAGAAAUUUUUCAGAGAAGUAAGACGCUAUCAUUGGGAUGAACCUUACCUCUAUAAGCAUUGUUCUGAUGGCAUAUACAGACGAUGCGUAUCCGAAGCUGAAAUUCCAGACAUUAUUUACCAAUGUCACGGAGCUGAGUAUGCAGGACAUUUCGCUACCUUUAAGACGGUUUCGAAAAUUCUCCAAGCAGGAUUUUGGUGGCCAACUAUUUUUCGCGAUGUCCGUGCAUUUAUAACCCAAUGUGACAGAUUCCAAAGACGUGGAAAAAUCAGCAAAAGACACGAAAUGAAACAAAAGUUCAUUCUUGAAGUUGAAGUCUUUGAUUGCUGGGGUAUCGAUUUUAUGGGACCUUUCCCGUCUUCAUAUGGAAACAAAUAUAUACUAGUCGCUGUAGACUACGUAUCUAAAUGGGUCGAAGCAAUAGCUUCCCCUACCAAUGACGCAUCUGUGGUUAUUAAACUCUUCAAGAGUAUAAUCAUUCCAAGAUUUGGAGUUCCAAGAGUAGUCAUUAGUGACGGUGGAACUCAUUUCAUUAACAAAAUCUUUGAUAGAUUACUUAAAAAGAAUGGUGUUCAUCAUAGAGUAGCUACACCUUACCAUCCACAAACUAGUGGACAAGUAGAAGUCUCUAACCGGCAAAUUAAGGAAAUCUUAGAGAAAAGCGUAGGAAUCUCCAGAAAAGAUUGGUCUAGGAAACUAUAUAAUGCACUUUGGGCCUACAGGACCGCCUACAAAACGCCGUUAGGAACAACACCAUUCCACCUCCUUUAUGGCAAAUCAUGUCAUCUACCAGUCGAACUGGAACAUAAAGCAGCUUGGGCUACCAAACUUUUGAACUUUGAUAUCAAACCGGCUGCAGAAAGGAGACUUAUCCAGCUUACCGAGCUUGAUGAAAUCAGACAUUUAGCUUUCGAAAAUUCAAAAAUCUAUAAAGAAAGGACUAAAGCCUAUCACGAUAAAAAGAUCAUAUCCCGGCACUUCGAGCCAGAUGAUCAAGUCCUCCUUUAUAACUCUCGAUUGACUUUAUUUCCUGGAAAGCUAAAAUCCCGUUGGUCUGGACAACUUCACCGUAACGAACGUUCAACCCUCCGGAGCUAUCACUUUACAAAAUGAGAAAGGCCAGGAAUUUACGGUGAAUGGCCAACGAGUUAAGCAUUAUUGGGCAAAACCACCAGCGAAAGUGCCCAUGGUGCUGUAUGAACCUGAUAAUUAGUUUAAUCAGGAAGUCGAGCUAAAGACUUAAAAAUUAAGCGCUGAAUGGGAGGCAACCCAUUUAUUUUUAUAAAAAAAAUUUUCAUUAAUUAAAAUUAAUAAAUUAUAUUUACUAGAAAUUAAUGGUAAUUUUCGUAUUUCUUAAUAUUAGCAUUAUUUAGAAAAUUUAGUAAUUAGAAUCUGUCAAUAAAAAGGACAUCAAUCGACGCGGCAUUACUGCCAUCGAUCGAUGCGGGCAUAUCGACGGUUUUAACAUUAACUUCAAUCGAUAUCAACCCACUUCCUCUUCCAAAAUCACAAACACAACCAAAAACGAAAACACCCAUUUUCUCUCUCGAUUCUCGACGGAUUUCGUCCGUUCUUCGCCUAAAUCCACUCGAUUUUUCACUCUGUAACUGUUAAAUCCACUCCCGAAAUCAACAUUCAAGGUAUGCAAUCGAAAUUUUCAAUUUUUCGAAAAAUUUGGGUUUUCGUUUUGGGUUGGAUUAGAACGCUUAAUUUAGGGCGAUUGAGAGAUGUUUUUGUAGUUCAUAUUGCUUAUCUAGAGUUCAGUUUGUGAUUUAUAUGCAUUUAGAUUAGUAUAAACGCGAUUUGGAGUUGAGUGAUUUUGCAGGUUUCGCGAUUCGACAUCGGUCGAUAUGAACUUGUUCGCAUCGACCGAUGCUCUCUUGUCGGAUUGUUCCGACACGACGAUAUCGAUCGAUGUUCAAUAGAACCCAUCGAUCGAUAUUACAUUAUAUGCGACAAUGCUAACCUUCUUUUCUUCUUGGUUUCAGAUGAGCAGCUCAGAGACAAACGCGAGAAUUAGAGAACUCAGGUCUAAAAGGAGGUUCGACGAGACUAGCAGCUCCUCCAACCCACAGCGUCAUCCAUGGCCUCGCCCCGAAAACACACCAUUCGAUGUUCCGGGCUAUGCUGAUCCUAAGGCAGCGAUCAACAGCAACGAGUGCCGUCAGCGUCCUCUGUACGAUGACUGGGACGACUACGACAGCCUCUUCUACAAUGCCUGGCUAGGAAUCUCUAUCGAGCCCACCAAGUUCCUUGACCGACCCAUCCUGAAGAAACUCGGGAUCGAGGGGGAUGUCAAGGACAUGAUCCCGCAGCUUGGACUCGGUACCAUGCCCUCUCGCGCUUACGACCUCUACCCUGAUCUCGUCCGCCAGUUCAUGGCCACUGUCGAGGUCAUCUACAGGACUUCAGCUCCGAAGGUAGCGGGAGAUGGCACUUUGAGCUUCUUCGCCAGAGGGACACGCUACAGGAUCACUAUCUCCGAGCUCUGCCGCAUCUACGGUUUCGAUGAGAGCAUCGCCUCUUACGCGGUCCCACCCUUCUCACACAUUGAGGGAUUCUGGGAGAUCGUUUGGCACAAGAGUUUGGGACACGAACAGGGCCGUGCUAUCAGACAUCCACCAUCCUGCAGUUCGCUACUUCCUACGGCUCCUUGCAAACACACUUGUUUGCAAGAUGGAGCCCAAAAAGGUCCAGAUAAAGGAGCUCACACUACUUUUCUGUGCAGUGAACAGCGUGGUGGACUUGGUUGAGUUGGACGAGGAUGGCGAGGUAAGCCCGCCGAACCUCGGAGCUGUCUUUUCCGCGCAUUUGGUGGAGCUGAAGAAGAAGCCCUUCACCAGCAAGGGCAAGAACAAGAAGGAGACAGUUGGGAGUCUUCUGACCCCGAUCUUCCAGUAUCUCGGCAUCCACCUCGACUCUCGCACCGCCGACCGCGACCACGCGUUGCUCGACGAGCAGCACUUGAUGCACCCGCUAUGGAUCGAGGAAGGGAAGCUCUGGCGCCUCAGGAUCCGCGACGAGCAUCGCCUUCUACCCCUACCAGAUAGGAGGAUCACUGACUUUGGCAACGACGUGGAGCAGCUUCGAUGCAUGCCAGACGAGGCAUUCCUCCGCAACCCGCGGAACAUGUCACGCCGACCUCCCAGCAUUCGCCGUACCAGAGCUCGGGACGCACAGGCACCUCCUCUCCCCGACUUCCCGAACAUCCCGGACAUCCCUAUGCAGGACCAGGGAGACUUUCAAAGGUUCGUGGUGGACGCUCUUCAGGAAAUCUGGGCCAGAGUAUCUUGUCGGAGCAGGAGUGCCACAGGAGCGCAGGCAACAGCACCAGCAGCUCGCAGGGACCCACCCCCAGAGGACGAUGAGGCGACUGACGAGGACACCGACUAGUCCUCCCAUUUCUAUCCUUCCUCCUCUUAUUAUGAACUUGUUUAUUUAUUUUCCGAACUUGUAGGAUUUAUGUUUUUAAACUUAUAUUUUAUGUUUGAGGAUGCUUAUUAUUUCUUAUGCUUGAUUGUCUAAACAGAGCUAACAUUUGGCAAGGAACAUCGAGUUUGACUCCAAGCACAUGCGAACAUAUCUGCGCUUCGCCAUCGAUCGAUAUGGAGAGGAUUACAUCGAUCGAUUCUAAGCGAGUAACAUCGAUCGAUAUGGAGAGGAUUACAUCGAUCGAUGUGUAGUACGGAUAGGUACUUCAUUUUUACUAACAUUCUCAAAACAUCUGACUUGAUUUUACCUACCCUUGGCCACUUUGCACCGAGUCGGUGCAAUUUAAGUCUGGCGGAGGUAGUUACUAACACCAUUUUCUCGAGUUUUUGUCAAAAAUCUUUAAAAAAAAAUAAAAAUAAAAAUAAAAUAUAUUAUUUUAUUGAGUCAAGAAGGGGAUUAUGAACUAAUGAUUUUUACUUGAAUGUCUAACCACUUUCUAGCACCAUUCUAGAUUUACUGACUGCAGAUAAUACUAUAGAUGCUAAAGUGGAUCGACCAGUCAACUAUGCACACUUGCUAACUUGUUAGAAAAAACUGAAGCUAACCUCCAACACUAACCUGACUUCACUGCUUGUUUUGGGGCUUGGUAUACAUGGGAUCGGAUUUUUCAGACAAGUCUGGAAGGUAACGCCUGGUUUAGAUUAUUUAUCACAUUUUCUCUCUCUAGAUUUCGACCCUAGAUUAGUUAUAGAGUAUAAAUAAAAAGAAAAAAAAAUAUAUAUAUAUAUAUAUGUAUAUAAAAAAAAGAGUAAGAUCUAUUGUUUAAUUAGGAUGAGUCUGAACAGGAUUUGGUGGCUAAAACCAUUAAGGCUUGAUUCAUAAAGACUCAAAUAAAAGAGUUCGAAACGGGACAUGGAGGCGGCAAUCUUCAAGGCUCGCUUUCGCAAAGAACUCUUGGAUAUAGGUCAAAAAGAAGUGAACAGAACUUGGUGGCAACCACCAUUAAGUUUUGAUUCAUGGAAGCCUGUCCAAUCUUGGUCACUGAUCCUGCAAUGGAAGCAGACUUUGACCCAAGAGAGAAAUUUAGAGAGAGAGAAACUAGGAACUAAUUUUUACCUGCAGCUCCAGAUACUUGUCUGAAAUCCUUGCAUCCUGUGAUGGAUACUCCCAAGGUAAAGCCUACACUUUUUACAUUAAGAAAUGAGGUUGGUUGAGGAGAUUGAUAAUAAGAUUAGUUAAGAUUGUUGGCUAGAUGAUUUUGGUUGCUAAGCUAGGAUAUUGCAUAAUGUAUAUCUGUAAGAAGGAACCUUAGAUGUGGAAUGCAAUAUUAUAGAGGUGAUAACUUCAAUAUUUCAAAUCUGUGAGUCCCUGAUGUUUUCAACCCUCUUCCAGAGAGAUUGUCCAUUGGUUUAACUUGAGGACAAGUCAAAAGAUAAAGUCAAGGGGAGUUGAUAUACCAUGAUUUUCACCCGCUUUUAUACAUGGUAUAUAAAGGUUUUAAGAUGUAUUAAUCAUGUUUUAGAGUCUUUUCAAAGCAAAUACAAGUUUAUUCACCUGAUGGAAGGAAAUAAUACUUUUGAGACAUUUUGGAAUGCUUUUACGCAAGGAAAAUUGAUCGACGCUUGAAGAGCAACAUCGGUCGAUCUUAAUCACUUACUAUCGAUCGACAUACAUUCUCGUGCAUCGAUCGAUACGCAGUCACACAGAUGAAAUCGCAAACUAAAAGAUUUCAUUUCCCAGAAGAUCUAUUAUUUACAACUUAAGUCCCUGGCCGCCUGUUAGGCGAUAUGUACUAGGGUUUUGUAUCAUUUCUAGGCAGACACUUGCAAAAGACCUAGUUUGGAAAAGGAGCAUUUUGGCUACCAUUAGGAGAGCUUAGGAUUGGAGAGAUAGAUCUGAGACUGCAAAACAGAGAAGAUCUUGAACUCCUUUAUUUCUAUUACUCUAUCUAUUUGUGUUCUAUGUUUCAUUUGAGUUUAUUUCACACCAUAAUGACUUUGUCUCUCAUGAAUAUGUCUGAGUAAACCGAUUGUUAGAUUUAGGUUUCUCACCAUGGUUGAAGCGUGUGUUUUCUCACCGAGGUCACAUAAUGAUCUAGGGAAGCGCGUGUUUUCUAUUUUACAAUCUAGGACGAAACUACCAGGAUCUGAUCUCUUCGUUGGAGUUUCUCCUUUAAUCAUAGCACUUACUUCUUCUGAAAUCAUCAUCACGCUAUGUUCUGCGAUUGGAUAGUUUGGAGAUGUCAUAUCCUUUAUAUACUUCUUAAUUGAAGGUGCUAUUUUUAUAGCAUCACUAAGAGACAUAUCGAUAGAAAUCCUAUCCAAAGCUUUCUUGCAGAUUGCGUUUUCUAAUGAUUUCUUAGUUUGCGUUUUAAGAGGAAAAGGGGGUAAAGUUCUAUAGACUCUUUCAAUUAUGGGAUCGGGUUGAGUAGACCGUCGAUCGACGGGUUUCUCAGGUUGUCGAUCGAUGGUGGGUGUUUUGGGUCGAUCGACGUCAGUUCCGUACUGUCGAUCGAUUUCAUCCUCAAUCUCCGUAUCUUCUUCUAGUUCUAAGUCUAUUGCCUUUUCCUUAGCCUUUUCAGCGGUGGUUUUCCGGUUCUCUUGAGAUGGAUUUGGGUCAAGUUCGUCAAGAAAAAUAGGAUGAGAGUUGCUUUUCCCGAUCUUAUCGGCGUCGUCAGGCUUUCCAACAUCUGAAUUAUUCCUCGUAUCUGCUGUGAGGUUUUUCCCGCUGCGCAGCAUUACGGCACUGACUUGACGUCUUGGGUUUAGAUAAGUUCUUCCGGGAAGACAUCCAGCGUCUCUCUUUACGGCAGUUGCAAUCUCAGAUACUUGACCUUCUAAUUUUCGGAUCAGUUCUCCUAAAGAAUCUGCUUUCUCCAUCAAUUCUCCGUAAACCAUAUUUAUCUUUCCGUAAAUCUCCGAUUUUGUCUUACGGUUGCCAGUAAGCGCUUGUCUGAUAUUGAACCUUUCUCUUCCGGUACGUGAUUUUAAUGCAGUGUCAUAAGCUUGGGUAAAGCUCUCGACAUGAAGCACAGAGUAGGGAUCAGAGCAGAUCGUUUCUUCAUCUGAAUAAUCAUCGGUGUCACACAAAGCGUUGUCGUCGAUCUGGGCUAUAUCAGAUCGGUGUUUGUUUUGAAGAAAGGAAUGAAGGGAUUUAAGGGAAUUCUUAAUUUCUAUUAAAUCAGAAUUGUCUUUUGGACUUGUAUUUUUUUCUAUCUCUUCAUCCAUCUUUUCAUAGGAUCUUCCCGUUGUCAUAUUCUUGAUAAGGCGUCUAGCUCCUUCGGGAUUCCUAGUGAUGAAAUUUCCAUCACUCGCUGUAUCGAGUGUGGUUUUAUAGCUCAAAUUAACACCUCCAUAAAAGAUGUUAAGAAGUUGUGGUUAUGAAUAACCAUGAUGGCGACAUUCAAGUUCAUAGCCUCUGAAUCUUCCCCAAGCGUUUUUAAAUGAUUCGCGUGGACCUUGGCGAAAUGUAGAAAUUUGUUUUCUUACUUUCCAGUAGCGUUCAUCAGUGAAAAUUUCUCUAAGGAAAGCUCUUCUAAUCUCUUCCCAACAAGUGAGUGAUCCUGUUGCUAAACAGUUCAACCACCUGAGGGCUUCUCCUUCUAGGGAGAAUAAGAAUAGUUUGCAACGAUCAUAUUCAUCUGGUAUUAAUUCUUCCAAAGUCUCAAUAUGAUCUUGUGGGUGUUCUGGGAGGGAUCCACGGAAUGGUACCAUACGGUAGUAAUCUACGUUAAACUUAGAUUUCUUGGUAUCAUCUCCUGGUAUUUUAAUAGCGGACCUAUUGGAAUGGGUCCUACCAGGAUCAAGUUAGUCUUGUAUGGACAAUUUUAUAUCUUCACCUUUAGUUAAGGUGGAAUUUUCCUUAACAGCGAUUUCAGUCCCAUGUUCAGUUUGGCUAGUUUCAUUGCUCGUUUGACCAUUUAGUACAGUUUGGACUACUUUCUCAUUAGCAGGCUUGGUAAGAGAAAACUUACCUGCUUCUGGCUGGGCGGUAUCGAUCGAUGUUGGUGACUCCGUAUCGGUCGAUUCUUCUGACUCACUGUCGCUCGAUGGAAACGUGUCUCCGUCGAUCGAUGGUUGGUCGCGCUCUAUGUUCUCCAUUCUUUGUGUCUGAGUAAUAGAUUAAGAAAAAAAACUUUAGCAAGAUUUUCGUAACAAGUCUACACUAAAUUCUAAAUUAAAUCUAAUGGUAAUAAGAAAGAGUCCCCGGCAACGGCGCCAAAUUUGAUAUCACUCAAAUUACCCUAAAGAGUGUUACUCUCAUCAAAAGAGGUUCAGAUGUAAUACUUAGGGAUCAAAUCCACAUAGACUCUAGGAUUACUCAACAGACUUAAAUAAUUAGAAAUGACGAUAGACUGAAAGGUUUUAAUAGUUUUAAAAGCAGUAAAUGAUAAAUCGAAAACAACAGUGAUUCAAUAGAUUGAAUUGAAGUUGUUUCAAGAUUGGGAAAGCAGCUAGAUUCAGGCAAUUCUCAGGUAUAAAAUGUAUGCACUUAGUUUAGACUAAAGGGUUUAAUGGUUCUUGAACGAAACAUUGAUUUAACCGGAUAGGUUAUCUUCACUAGAUCUCGGAUCUCAACUGUCGUAUUUUGAUCUCGAGAGAGUGUCGAUCGAUGUGACUUGAUGUACAUCGACCGAUACACCUUUGUAACGAUCGACCGACAGAACGAUAGUCGCGUCGAUCGACGGUUAUUCUAGCGAGCUUUGCGAACGGGUUUAACAUGUUAUCUAACCUUCUCAGACCAACUGUCGUUGCGCCUGAGUUAGUUAGAUCACGCAAAUGGGUUCAGGUAUUAAGGGGAAACGGUUAGUUGGACUCAAUUAAUCCUAAGAUCUAAAAUGAAGGUGAUCAAUCUCAAUUUUAGCAUUAAGUCCAUAAGCAAUGAAAGAACAAUCAAAACACCUUUUUAACAGUCAUAUUAGCAGUACAUAAUUCCAACCAUGGUGAGAAACCUAAAUCUAACAAUUGGUUUACUCAAACAUAUUCAUGAGAGACAAAGUCAUGAUGGUGUGAAAUAAACUCAAAUGAAACAUAGAAGACAAAUAGAUAGAGUAAUAGAAAUAAAGGAAUUCAAGAUCUUCUCUGUUUUGCAGUCCCAUAUCUAUCUCUCCAUUCCUAAGCUCUCCUAAUGGUAGCCAAAAUGCUCCUCUCCAAAACUAGGUCUUUUGCAAGUGUGCUAGAAAUGAUACAAAACCCUAGUACAUAUAGCCUAACAGGCGGCUAAGGACUUAAGUUGUAAAUAAUAGAUCUUCUGGGAAAUGAAAUCUUUUAAUUUGCGAUUUCAUCCGUGUGACUGGGCAUCGAUCGAUGCACAUGUGUGUAUGUCGAUCGAUGGUAAGUGAUUAUGAUCGACCCGAUGUUGCUCUUCAAGCGUCGAUCGAUUUUCCUUGCGUAAAAGCAUUCCAAAAUGUCCCAAGAGUAUCAUUUCCUUCCAUCAGGUGAAUAAACCUGUAUUUGCUUUGAAAAGACUCUAAAACAUGAUUAAUACAUCUUAAAACCUUUAUAUACCAUGUAUAAAAACGGGUGAAAAUCAUGGUAUAUCAGUAGAUCUAGGAAUUGAAUAGAAAAGUAGAUCUAGAUCUAAAUCUAGUUAUUACACGGAAAUAAAGAGAAGAUUAAUUAAUGUGACUGAUCGACUUCCAUCAAGAUGCAUCUGAACCGGCUAAGUCCAAUGCGGUAAGGAUCAGCACAUAGGCAGGACUAUCAGCAAGGGCCGCGGGACGUUCUGGUCGGACAAGUUGCGUUCCAACAAAGCCCAAGUCUUCUGAUAGCUUAAGGAUCCUUGCCUUCGAGAAAUUUCCAAAGGAAAAGUCCAUGAUCGAAUCGAACAAGGUAGAGAGAUCAUCAGCACAGUCGUCGGUAUAUGCGGUACGAGCCAAUCGAGCCAAAUGAGAGAAGUCUCGAUCAUUUUGUGAAACUUCAUGAUCCAAGUCAAGUCUGGCAUGAUCUUUCUCAAGCCUGGCAUGAUCUUUCUCAAGUUUGGGAUGAUCCAAGUAAAGUCUGGCAUGAUCCAAGUCAAGUCUGGCUUUGCUAUCAGUCUUGGCUUGUCGAGUUGGCCGGGAGAGACGAGCUUCAGUUCAGAUAGUUCGAGCAUCUGGUCGAGGAUCUGGACGAAGCUCCAAUCCGGACGUUCGCGGGUCGAGCCGAUAGACGGCCCGGUCGAUCUGCCUGAUCUGAUCGGUAGGAUGAACCUCAGCUGGGACGUCUGGAACGUUUUGAUCGGUCUGGUCUAUGGACUGGGGCACAUCACCUUGCUUCCUUCCAAGAAAUGGAAAACUUCCGACAAGGAGAAACCUUCCAUAUUUCCGAAUAUGGAAGAGUUUAACCUAAUGAAACCGAAUUCUAGACGACUAUAUAAGAGCUACAACAGCCCUCAAGCAAGGGAUCGACUUCUCCAAGGCUUAGAGACUAGAACUAGAUGGCUAGAAUUAGGGUUCUUACUCAAUACCUUGUAAUCUUGUUCGUUCUAUCUAAUAAAAGUCUCUUCAAGCCUAUUUCUUCAUUAUCAUCUCUAAAUCCUCACAAAAUACAUACGAACACCCUCUGUUUACUAGCUUAUCCAUCGUUCCGUAGUACUCAUAAAGAGCCUACACAAAAAUCCCUUAACAGUUUGGCGCUAGAAGGAGGGGAGUAAUCUAAGCUACAUGACGAUGGCGGUGGAUGAGCAAGACGAUCCAUCAGAAUUUACCCCAAGAGAAACCGAGCUUCAACGACAGAUCGAUGGACUGCAGAGCCAAGUAACCGACCUGCACAAGGCUCGGGAAACAACCGAAAAUCCAGAGCUUUCCUCCGAGGUUCAGAGCCUGAAUGAAAAACUGGGUGAACACUCCAAACAGCUGGAGUUAAGCGCCAAGAAACUCAACCAACUACAAACGGAGAGCGCUGCACUCCGAGACCAGAACAAAGCUCCCAACACGGCGAGCAACAAGAAGCAUCGCUUCAACACUCGGGUUCAACCUAUGGGAAGCCUGAGCACUCCCAACACCGGAAAAGGCACCACUAACGCGACUCCUGCAUCCGGGGCGGCCAGGGCAACGCGAGAAGGGAUCGAGGAUCACCAGAUCUACGACCUAGAGAAAAGUGAUUCCGAACCUGAACCCAAGAAAGAAGAACCCGAGAAGACGGCAGCCGAGUCUUCCAUAACCGCCCAUCUGGAGCAGAUGUUUUCCAAGAGGCUCGACGCCAUGCAAUCCAUGGUGGAACGUCUACCAGGAGUAGCUCCCCCAAUCCAGAGGAGCAACCCCGACUCGUACACAGAUACUCCCUUCACGGAGGAGAUCGCCUCAGUUGAGAUACCUCGGAAAUUAUCCUUCCCCAGCAUCAAGAUGUACGAUACUACCGGAGACCCCAACGAUCAUAUUGCACAAUAUAAACAGAGGAUGCUAGAGGUUUCGCUCCCUAAUGAGUCCCGUGAAGCUACCACGUGUAAAGGGUUCGGCUCCACUCUAAUUGGACCCAUCUUGCAAUGGUACAUCAAUCUCCCUACCAGGUCCAUCUCUUCCUUUGCCGGCCUGAGCGACAAGUUCGUAUAACAAUUCGCGAGUAGCAGGAGCCUCGAGAAGCCUUUAGACAGUCUCUACGAGAUCCUCCAGCAUCGAGCAGAACCUCUGCGAGACUACAUAGAUCCUCCAGCAUCGAGCCCGUUUCAAUCAAGAGAAGGUAGCGGUCCCUGAAUGCAGUAUCCCUACCGCAAUCUCUGCCUUCAAGAGAGGCCUACUUCCAGACGGAGGGCUCUACAAAGAGCUAACCAUGUACCCUUGCAAAACCAUGGAGGAUGUGCUAUCCCGAGCGUGGGCACAUGUGAAGUGGAAAGAGGACGUCGCUAGCCGCGCCAAGGCUCAACCCAAACAGGAUCAGAGGUCCACCCGAUCAGCCCGGGGAGACCGAGAAGAAAGAUCCUCCUAAAAGGGAUCCAAGGACUCCGGAAGCAGGAACCGGGGCAGGAUCCAAUACCGGCCAUUAGAAAAAGAAGAGGGGAUGUAUGUGUCUACCUGGCCCGAUAUCUCCCAUCUCUCAUUAUCCACUCCAUAGCUGGUCAACACGCUGAGGCAGAUGGGCCAACAGGUCAAGUGGCCCCCAAAGAUGAAAGCACCUGACUCGUUCCGGAACCCGGUACUCUGGUGCGACUUCCAUCGCGAUCACGGCCACAAAACUGAAGACUGCGUCCCCUUGAAGAUCGAGGUCAACGAACUGCUCCAAAAGGGGCAUCUCCGAGAAUUCCUUUCAGAGAAAGCCAAGGCUCAUCUUAGCAAAGAAGCAUCAGGGAAAUCCAAAGGAGACGCACCAAGCUCACCACCUCGCCAGGACCGGGUGAUUCAUGUCAUAUCAGGAGGUCCCUGAAUGCAGUAUCCUGUUAGGGGAUUUUUGUGUAGGCUCUUUAUGAGUACUACGGAACGAUGGAUAAGCUAGUAAACUGAGGGUGUUCGUAUGUAUUUCAUGAGGAUUUAGAGAUGAGAAUGAAGAAAUAGGCUUGCAGAGACUUUUAUUAGAUAGAACGAAUAAGAUUACAAUGUAUUUAUUAAAAACCUAAUUCUAGCCGUCUAGUUCUAGUCUCUAAGCCUUGGAGAAGUCGAUCCCUUGCUUGAGGGUUGUUGUUGCUCUUAUAUUCGUCUAGAAGUCGGUUUCAUUAGGUUAAACACUUCCAUAUUCGGAAAUAUGGAAGGUUUCUCCUUGUCGGAAGUUUUUCAUUCUUGGAAGGAAGCAGGGUGUGACACCCCCGAUCGUAGUUGGCCGGAAAUGACACGGUUGAUGUUCCUCGAUGGUCGAUCCGAGGAUCUCAGAAUACUUCUGAUCGCCUUAGACCAACAAUCAAAGAACACCAACGCUCCUAUCAGAUAUCACUCUAGGCUUUUCAACCCGAAAAAGCAAUACCUGAUAGUUAGUUCGUCCGGACAAGGACUAAUAUCAUAUGGAACAUGUACUUUAAAAACAUUCUUUAUAUAUCAUUUAAAACCAUCUUACAAAAUUUGUUAUAAAAUAACCUCGAGGUUUUCGGUCAAUAAAUCUUAUACAUAAGAAAUAUCAAACGCCUUUGCAAGGAUAAUAAAACUACCACUGGCUAAUGAUGUUCCUUCCCGUCCUAGAGUAAGGUCUCUCGCCUAUUGGUUACCUGCAUCACAAAUGAGUCAUGAGUAACUAGUUUACUCAGUGAGCCUAAUCCCUCACCCCAACAUAUAUUAAUAAUAUCUCAAGCAAUCAACUUCAUUUGUAUGCAGUAGGAAAUAUAUUCCAUAUCUGGAUAUUUAUAUAUAAGGAAUAUUCUUCCAUCAUUGUGAAUCUAAUCAUAUACCUCACUUCCUAUUCCCGUCUCUCAUAUCAUUCAUAUAAUCAUAUUUAUAUAUAUAUAUAUAUAUAUUUAUAAACCAGACCCGAGAAACCAUAAAGGCUAAACGAGUCUAGCGAGUUAGCAUCACCAUCAUCGCCAUCAGAUAUUCAAAAAUUGAACAUCUAACGCUGCAUGCAGUUACACGGCCUCCAGGGUGCGACCCCAUCAUCGUGUCUUCGUGACCCUGUUCCAUAUCACAGGACCAAUUCACGGUAAUCAUCAUUCAUACGGAAAUAUUUUGGAAGACAAGUUUAUAAUAAGACUUCACAUGAUUAAUACUUCCAUACUUAAUUAUAUUUAAUACUAUACAUAUGUAUUAGUACUUGAGAACAAGUACUAAGGUUUGGAAUAAACCUCUAUGAUCAUUCAUAAAUAUUUAAUAAGUGUUUACACUAAGUAAACACCUUACCAAUUCAAUAAUGAUCAAGAGACAAAGCCUAUCAAUCAUCUACAAUCAGUACGUUCAAUCAAGAAAUAUUCAUUCACUACUCACCACUCAUCUAUCUAGACUCACCUUUGAUUCCAUGAGAUUGGCUAGGAAAGACUAGACUCGAGCUCAACUAAUAACACUCCAUUUCACUCCUGAUUCAGAACGUGUGGAUACAAGUUCAGUCAGGUUGAUUCCAACAGAAACUCUACUCAGCUUAGUUCAAAGCAGUUCAGGUCGUUUGAAGGAUAAUUCAGUGCAGCUAAGCCUUUAAAAAAAAUAUCUAAGAAACGGAAAUGAACCAAGAUCAAUCCACAUACAGGUUUAAAAACUAAUCUGGACAGGAAGCUUAACAAAUCAGUCCAUUUGUUCCAAACAAAACUUCUCUGAACUAGUAGCUAUGGCUUACCAAUUUCCUCAAGCUUUAAGAUGAACUUGGUUGAUAUAAACUUCAAGCUGAACACACGUCUAACCUGAUCAGGACAAGAUACCCAUGAUAGGUUCAAGAUCAGAAACAUACCAAAUCGUUUUGGUUACCUAACAAGAACUGAAGCUCAAGCAAAACUGAUCUCAUCAAACCCAUAUGUUCUUACCGAUAAAAUCCAAGGCUAAAGAACUUGGGUGAUUCUAAACUCUUGGACACCAAACCUUCAGCUCUUAACCAUACCAGAACACACUGAUUAAAGUCACAGGAUGGUGAGAAAGGGUUGUCCAUGCUCACUCCUCUUCUCUGAAUAUUUUUCUGAAUUUUUCAUGAAUCUUUUCUCUCAGAUUUUUCUCUCUUCUUUAUCUCUUUUUCUCUGAAUUUUUCUCUGGUUUUUCUUGCAGGUUAUGAACGUCCAGAGGAGAGAAGAAGGUGUUUUAAAGCAUAAGGAGUUACUUCAGAUGAGGGUUACUUCUAUACAAGGCAAAGCUGAGGCUCGACAGGUGGAGACAUGCUUCAGCACACUAAGCAGCACAAGCAGCUGAACUUUUCCUUCCCAUGAAGAAAGCUACAAGCAGCUGAAGCAAGUAGCUUGUGACCAGCAUGUGACUUCUAAUGAGCAAGCAGGCAAUCAAGUAGGUGCAGGUCAUGUGACCUAAUUACUGAGGAAGCAAUUAGGCUAGAAGGUGCAAGGCAUGUGACUGUUCACAAAUAAUUUUAAGAGUUUUGUCGAUAUUUUUUGUACUGUUUCGACUAAAUAUUUUUCAUCAUUCGAAUCUCGUCCUGCUCUGAAUAAACUCGCCUAGCAUGAAUAAAAAUCGACAAUAAUAAUUAACACUAGACCAGAACCAUCAAGAGAUGGCUUUUCGACCAAUAGACAGCCCCUCGAGAGAUUAAUUCACCGUGUCGAAUUUUAUUUAAAUUCUGAUCGAUCAAUCUUCAAACUGAUCUUAAAGAAUUUUCUCGACCAAAAUUCUAUUUGCUCGUGAGGGUCAUUACAUUCUUCCCCCCUCAAAAGAAUUCGUCCCCGAAUUCUAAAAACGUAGUUGUACACUCUUUACUGAACAGUCUCUGAAAGGAGUUCUGGAUAUUAGAUCUGACCUUAUCUUAAUCUGCCCAUAUCAAAACAACUCAUGGUCGAUCCCUUGAUUCCCCCAACUGAUCCUUUCUUUUCUGAGCAGCCACUUUCAAGAUAACCAAAUUCUUUACUCUGCACAAUUCUUGUCAACUGCGGUCUGCAUACUUUUUCUAACAAUCUUGUAUCUGUAGACUAUUAUUUCUCAACCUUUUCUAUCUGGCUCUCCCCCAUAACAACAACAUGAAAUUUAGAACGUGAGGUGAUGUGCCAUACGUGAAUGUAACAUCUCCAGUCUAAUCAAUGUUAACUUGAUUAACCGUGCAAGAAUCAAACAAGAACAUGCACGAUCAAUCACGCCAACAUGAUUCAGACCAGGGGUGCUACUCUCAAAUAAACACACUCACCUAUUCCAAGAAGGAUUUCACUUACAGUACUCUUUACACUUCUGAUCUAUCUGAAAUGCUCUUCAUAAUCUUCUAACUACUACUAGAACUCGACAAGAACCACUUGGUGAAAUCCCUAGGCUAUUGCAGUGAAUUCAUGUUCAACAAGAAUACUGGACAUGUUACUUUUUUAGAUGUCGACCAUCCUUUCAAUGCCUUAUAAACACAUCUUCAUCUUCCCUGAUUAUCAGACUGUCUUCUACUCUGCUCCUUUUCAUCUUCAACUUUCUAAACGACCAAGUUACUAGAGUACACUUCUUCACAUGUUCCCAAAAGUUCUUCAACACGCCAUACUGAUUUGAGUCAUACUUGAACACUUUGUAGAAUACCAUUGUAAGCCAACAAUAGCUGGUCCUCUUCAAAAAACUUCUUUCCUUUAUAUCUUAAUUGAGCUCGGUAACUAGAUAGCCAAUCUCAUUCUAGAUAGAAACAUACCGCUCUAACGGAAGUACUAUGGAAUGGGGAAGGCAUACCAUAACUUUAAUUGGCAGCCCGUACUUCCAAAUAAGAACGGUAGACUUGAAUUCACAAAAGUGAAUCUUCUCUAAUACUAUGACAUCGCUCAGGAACUACAACCAUGUGUUGUUCCCGAAUCAAACACAAUAUGAGCAGAGAAUUCCAUCCAUGGGCAAGGUCUCUUACGACACCUUGAUCACAAUUUACAUUUUUUUUUAAUUUAUUUAUUUCAACCAUUCAUAAAAUUUUAAAAAUGCACACAACACACAAUGGGAUAAGAAGCAAACCUGUGAUUGGACCUUUCAGGGGUUUUGACGGUCCAAACAACCAUAAAGUGUAGGCUCUACCCAAAUAGCCUAACACUUGGAUCAAGUCUAAUGGUAAGGAAGCGUGAAGAAAGCCAACUACUGGUACCCUAGGUAUAGGUAAAGGAACCAGGUAACUUUAUGAGGAAGGGUAACCUAAAAUCCUAACUCUUCACAAGAACCACCAAAGUGUGAAUGAUGUAAAUGUUCUAGGAUUUCCCAAACUUUGACAAUCACGACCAUUUUUUCCUUGCUAGUCACAACCAUAACGGCUCAAGGUCCUCGAUCUUGAUCUGAAGAAAUGUACACCCAAAAUCAUCCCCAACGACUUACUUAACUCACUUCUUGAA
This 70721-nucleotide long non-coding RNA is filed under the name Brassica rapa (field mustard). RNAcentral describes it as "long non-coding RNA (BRAP_LNC005775)". The record is from RNAcentral. Lineage: Eukaryota; Viridiplantae; Streptophyta; Magnoliopsida; Brassicales; Brassicaceae.